This 61186-nucleotide long non-coding RNA is filed under the name Medicago truncatula (barrel medic). RNAcentral describes it as "long non-coding RNA (MTRU_LNC005269)". The stretch from base 42698 to 42775 matches the Rfam family "MIR5286 microRNA precursor family". The record is from RNAcentral. Lineage: Eukaryota; Viridiplantae; Streptophyta; Magnoliopsida; Fabales; Fabaceae.
CUUGGUGGACUUAGUUGGACUGUUCAAUUGGGAAGAAGGGAUUCAACCACAGCAAGUUUUGGUUUAGCUAACUCAGAUUUACCUGGUCCUGGUUCUGAUCUAAGUGGCCUUAUCAAUGCUUUUAACAAUAAAGGUUUCACACCCAAAGAAAUGGUUGCUUUAUCAGGUAACUAUAGUUACUUUUAGUUCCUUUAACAUGUGCAAUAUUACACAUGUCAGAAAAACCCUAAUUUUAUUAUUACUAGCGUUUAGGCACUCUGGUGUCCGUCUAUCCAGUUUUCAUACCAUAUGAUAAACAUGUCUCAUUAUCAAUUGUAUAACUAACUUUAUUGUAUUAUAGGAUCACACACAAUUGGUGAAGCUAGUUGUAGAUUCUUCAGAACAAGGAUUUACAAUGAAAACAACAUAGAUUCAUCUUUUGCAAAUUCAUUGCAAUCAAGUUGUCCCAGAACAGGUGGUGAUUUAAAUUUGUCCCCACUUGACACAACCUCUCCAAAUACAUUUGACAAUGCUUAUUUCAAGAACUUGCAAAACCAAAAAGGUCUCUUUCACUCUGAUCAAGUGCUUUUCGAUGAAGUAACCACAAAAUCACAAGUUAAUUCUUAUGUUAGAAACCCUUUGAGUUUCAAAGUUGAUUUUGCCAAUGCAAUGUUCAAAAUGGCGAACCUUGGCCCACUUACGGGGUCUAGUGGUCAAGUUCGAAAAAAUUGUAGGAGUGUCAACUAAAAUUCUUGGCCUUCUAUUGUAUAAGUGCAAUACAAGGUUAUAAGCUACUCUCUAUAUUGUAAUCAUAAAUCGCAUCAAACUCAAUGUCAUAUCGUCAAUCAGUAUCAAUAAUAAUGUUGGUACCUAUUUAAUUACUUAAUCUUGUUGGUCCAAGUGCUAUGAGGUUUGAAAACCAUAUAUAUAUAUAUAUAUAUAUAUAUAUAUAUAUAUAUAUAUAUAUAUGCAAGUAGUCUUGAGAAGAGUUGAUUUUUUCCUUUAAAUUUGUCUCGCUUAACAACCUUGAGGUUUUUUUUUUGUCUUUUCGUUCAUUUAAUUUGAACUAUCGAACCGAACCGAGUUGUUCAAAUCAAAUGGAUAACUCUUUGUAUCCUAAGUAGAUUUUUGAUUAUCCCUAAUGACUUUUUUGAAUGGAUUAUCUCUAAUGACUUGAUUGCUAAAGUGAUCCCUUCUUCCUUGAUUAAUCAGGAUGAUUUCAAUAUAUCCGAAAUACCUUCUUUUGAAGAUGUCAAGGCCUCUUAAUAGGGAUGAUGUUCACUUGGUUAACCUAAGCUUUUUAAACAUGACAAAUAAGAAAAUAUUAACAUAAUUCUUUAAAAAUAAUUCGAUAUUUAGUUAAGAUCUCAUUUUUAGUUAAUGGCAAGCAUGGUUUAUUUCUUUUCCAAAAGAGGGUGUAAGGCAUGGGAGUUUUUAUUUCUCCUUUUCUUUUAAAUUCUUGCAUCAUUGAUUUGGAAGUGUAAAGGAUUGAAGAGUAAGAGUGUAAUUUGAUUUCGCAUGCAACUCUUGCUAAUUUGGAAGGUGAGGAAUGAUAACCAAAGUUAGCACAAAAAUCCAAAAUUUGGGGAGGUAGUUGACCAAAAUGUCUUGAACAAAAAAUCAGCUUGGCACUAAAAAAAUAAAUGAAAAAAAAAAAUCUUAAAAAAGAAGUGAUGAAAAUGACAAUAUAAUUAAUUAAAAUGAAUUCCGUAGAAAUUAUUAUCUCCAAUAAUUUUGUUCAUGUAUACUGUUUUUUAUUUUUAGGGAUGUGAUGCAUCAGUACUGUUGGACGAUACAUCAAGUUUCAUAGGUGAAAAAACAGCAGGUCCAAAUGCUAAUUCAUUGAGACGCUUUGAUGUAAUUGACAAAAUAAAGUCUGAAAUAGAGAAGUUAUGCCCUAAUACUGUCUCUUGUGCUGAUAUUCUUGUUGUGGCAGCAAGAGAUUCCGUGAUUGCUGUAAGUAUAAAUACUUCAAAUCAAAACUUUUCUUUAAGGGAUACUUCAAGCUAAAAAAUAGAGUUUUUCGUCAUAAUUUUUAAUUCAACGGUUGAUAUAUGAUGAUAAUGGAUCAUGACUCAUAUUGUAUGUGUCUAUAUAUUAUUUGACUAUAAACAUAACUAUUUUUGAAGUCAGACAUGCGAGUGGUUGUGAUAUGUCAGCCGUAUAAAACUUUUUAAGGAUAUAAUUAAAAAUAUAUUUUUGGUAGGAUGGUUAUGGUGUACUCUCUGGUGGUUCGGGAGUUGAGGAGUGCCUGAGUGAUUCGUCUCUGGGGUAGGUAUGGUGUGUCGAUCGCUUUUACUUAGAGAUUGGGAGUCAAUUUCUAGAAAUUUGUUAUGUGGGCUUAUUAUGGUGUCUUCUUCGGCGGAAUGGGGAUCGAUUGGUGGUGCAAUUUGUAUCGGUGCUGGAUUAAGUGUUUAUCAGGUGUUUAUUUGGGCUCGACGUCGGAUAGAGAAGGUGUUUGAUGAGUUUUUGGAGAUUUUCGUGCGAGUAGCAGACGUCAGGUGUUUGGAACGAGUUUAGGUGGACAUUCCAGCGGACCAGUGGCGGAUCUCUAUAGAGACCCACAGGUGCCAUGACACCCCUCAACUUAUCUAUAAAUACUAUAUUACUCAUAACAUAUUAUAAGUAUUUCAUUGUCGCAGCGGAAAGUGAAGGCUUUUUGCAACUAUAGGUCGCGAGUUCAAUUUCUAUUGGCUCCCUUUUAUGUGUAUUUUUAUUUUUAUUAAAACAAAGUGUUUGUCUGGAGCUCGAACCAGUGUCCACAAGGUACUGGGCAUAAACAAAGUGAACCACUACACCAUCUUACAAACAAUGUCAAACAUUUGAAAGAGUGUGUAUAUUUUCUACGACUAUUUGGCACCCCGAACAAAAUCAGUCAAGAUCCGCCACUGCAGUGGAGGUCGGGUGUUUGGAGAGUUUAGGUGGACAUUCGAGUAGGAGCAUGAGGUUUUCCCUCAACUUAGGUUUUUCAGUUGUCUGAGGUUUGGCGUUGAUUUUUAUGUGUUGGUUUUCGUCUUGGUGGUUAGUUUUUAUUGGGUUUGGUGAUAGACGUCAAUUAAAUGAUGUCUUUAUUAUGUAGGAGCUUACUUUUAGCCCUUUACUUAUUUCUGUCUUGCCAAUCUCUAUUCUUCUUGAACAGUGAUCUGGUUUUAAUAAAUUUUGUUGUUUAAUUUUUUUUUAUAUAAGUUGAACAUACAAGUAAUUUUACAUUGCCGGUAUAAAACUUUUUACAACAACAAUGUAUGAAAAUUAAUCACAUAUUAUAAGGAAAAGAAAAUUUUUGUAGUUCUUGACAAAAACAAAAUUGUACUUGAAGUUAUAGUCAACCAAGUAUUUCUCUAUACACUAACAUAUUGAACACAUUUCAGCUUGGUGGUCCUAGUUGGACUGUUCAAUUAGGAAGAAGGGAUUCAACCACAGCAAGUUUUAGUUUAGCUAACUUAGACUUGCCAGGUCCUUCCUCUGAUUUAAUGAAUUGAUUGCUCUUUCAGGUAGCAAGCUAAACUUAUAGAUGCAUAUUUAUCAAAUGUUUUAGAUUAUUAUUUUUAUUAUUACUAGCGCACUCUCGUGUUCGUCUAUCCGGUUUUUAUACCAUUGUUGUGUAACUAACCUUAUUGUAUUAUAGGAUCACACACAAUUGGUGAAGCUAGUUGUAGAUUCUUCAGAACAAGGAUUUACAAUGAGAACAACAUAGAUUCAUCUUACAAUUGGUGAUUUAAAUUUGUCACCGCUUGACACCAUCACUCCAGAGACAUUUGACAUUGCUUAUUUCAAGAACUUGCAAAAUCAAAAGGGUCUCUUUCACUCUGAUCAAGUGCUUUUCGAUGAAGAAACCACAAAAUCACAAGUUAAUUCUUAUGUUAGGAACUCUUUAAGUUUCAGAGCUGAUUUUGCCAAUUCAAUGAUCAAAAUGGGGAACAUUGGCCUACUUAUAUUACUGGGUCUAGAGGUCAAAUUAGGGAAAAUUGUAGGAGUAUUAACUAAAGUUUUUUGCUUCUAUUACAAGUGCAAUACAAGGUUAUGAGCAUUAUAUGGAUUGUAAGCAUAAAUCGCAUCAAACUCGAUGUCAUAUCGUAAAUCAGUAUCAAUAAUAACGUUGGUACCUGUUUAACUAUUAAUUUUUCUAUCGUGUAAUGUUAAAAAUAAAAAAUGGAUUUGUCCAAGUGUGGUGGGGUUUGAUUUCCAACUCAUGUAUACGAAAAAAAAUUAAUUGAAUACUUCGUACCUAUAAAAUAAUUUUAAAAAAAGUGUGUAAUACUAAAAAGGGUGUAAUCAUGCAUGUUCAUAUAUUCAAGCCUACUUGUUAAGGUUUAACAUUUUAAUUUUGUUAUAUGGGCUGAAACAUUUUUAGCAAUGGAAAAAAACUAAACAAAAUUAUCAAUUUGUUUUUCUUUUAACUCUCUUAUUUCGUCUAAAAAUCAAGUGAAACAUGCAUGACUAAUGAUUGUUUUAGUGAGGAUUCAAUCUUAGAUUGUCUUGAACGAUUUGUUUUUACUUUUUAAGUAAAAUUUAUUAACCAUUUGAUAAAUUAUUUGAUUACUAAUUAAUCAAUUGAUGUUAGAAUGAUAUGAUUAUGUUUGUAGUUCACUGUGUCCCAAAAAAAGAAAAUGGUGUAGUUCACAUACUUUAUUUUUUUUUACUCGAGUAAUCUUCCAACUUAAGCUCUCAAGUUUAACUUUAUCUCCUACUCGAUUCUUAAAGUAUACCAAAAAAAUGUUUUGUCCCCUGAUAUAAGUUCAAAUAGCAUAUAAAUACAUUUUUCAAAUAAAAAGUAAAGAAGAAACUUAACAAAAAAAAAUAUAUGUCAUUUAUAAAAGUUUACAUUAAGUUUCUACGAGUAUUGGCGUAGCUGACAUAUAUUUAAUUAGUGUUUUUUCUUAUAUUGUGGUUUGAUUCGGUUGGUAAAAUAAAAACACAAACCGAUCCAAACCACGCGGUUGAGUAAAAAAGUGAUUCGAAUACAUCUAAACCAAAUACGGUUUUUUACGUUUUUUUUUUUUUACAGUUUCUUUUGUCUUUUAUUGGUUUUCAUUCCUAACACUCUUGUAUAUGGGCUGUCUCCUUUCUCUUUGGGCCUGUACCACCCAACCACCCCUUUCUUUGAUCCAACGGUGCAAGCUUCGAUCUUUUCUCUAAAAUUAAUCUCAACCAUCCAUCCACUCGAUCUUUUCAAUUUUCAUUACUCUUUUCAUCUUCAAACUUAGGGAAUAUAUGAGAUUGUAACCGAUGACACUCAAUCAGUUGAGAUCAUUUAUUCCUCUACACAAAACCCAUAUAAAUUAUGCCUUAUUUUUCUGACUGACUAAAAUGUUAGAUAUGAAUGAAAAUCAUAUUUGAUGUGUUUAUGAUUUUGCAUAAGUUAAUUGUAGAAUGAAACCUCAUUGAAAAAAGAAAUUACAAUAACUUUAUUAAAACCUUAAUCAUAAAUUUCCUAAUGACUAAAUUUCAAAUAUUGAUUUUUUUUUUUUGCCAAGGAAACUGGAUUUUAAAUGAUGUUGAAUUUAAAACUUAAAUGAAUUGUGGGUAUUAUUUAUUUAUAAUUUAAAUUAUUAUUUUGUUUUAUGUUUAGCUUUUUAAAUAUAAAUUCCCUAUAUAUUAAACUCUCUUUUCUUUCUAUUCUUUCUCCAUGAAUUCGGAAAUUGUGUGGGAAAAAGAAAAGGAGGUUGUUUAUACGGGAUUUUUUAAUUAAAAAUCCUAAAUUUCAAAUUUUAAAUAAUAUUUAAAUAAUAAAUAACUAUAUAUAUAUAAACAAUUGCAUUUAUUAAAUUAUUAAUUUCACUUUUCUUUUUCCUGUCAAAGUCCACCUUACAUUUUCUAGUGCUCUUAGAACACUCAUUAGAAUCCUUCUUGAUUUUGUAAUUUUUGUAGUGUUAUGAAUGGACUAUGUAAAGACAAUAAUAUUAUAUAAAUGAGGUCAAACUACAUAAAUAUCUAAUUUUGAGUUAAUAAUACAAUAAGUAAGUGGGGUCGGCUGACCCGAUUGCCCCCACACUGAAGAUGUCCCUGCAGGGGGCUAGCAAAUGUUGAAUGGCAACUAGCUUUCUCUAAGGCCUUUGUAGAAGUUCGGUGUAGACUCCCACUCCCACCACAACCUUAUCCUUCUCCGCUUUGGUGGUUAUAACAUCCCAGACGACUUUAAGCAUUGCCGACUGGCCCUACAAACCAACAAGCAUUCAUUGUUGAUAUAGGUAGUACCAAACAAUUCUUAUAAGCCUUCUUUCAACCAUGUAGUUCCAUACCUACACAGCCUCAAGAUCCCUCUCAUUCCGAUGUGAUUCGGUUCCUCUAGAAGUUGUCGGGAGCCGCUCAUUGUCGUGCCUUGUGCACCGACGACCACUUCCCGCCCUCGUCGGCCUUUGGUGUUACAAUGGUCGAUCUCCCCAUAGCCAGAGGGCCUAGACCUUUCCUCUUUGAGACAACUUGAAUUAAUCAUGAAGUCGGCUCUGAUUUAGUUGCCACAAUCUGGAAUUCUUCUAACCAUAACCCACCAGUCGACUUAAGCAUGGUUUUGCGGCCUUCAAGCAUAGAAUGUUAACAUGCAUUCUAAGAACCGCAACAAGUUAUGUUGCUCCAAACUAUUCAAACAUUCAUUUUUUACAAUUACCGUAAAACUGAUUUUCCCUUUACCAUGAAACUUUAAUAAAAUGCAUAUAAUGUCACCUAUACUUUUUUUUGUCAGAUAGUCUAGUGACUAUAAUUCAAUUUUUAAAGUGAAUAAGUGGAGUGUUGAGGGUUCGAAAUUGACCUCUGCAUGUUACUAUGCAUUGUCCUUAUUUAAGCUCAUAUUCAUUAGUCAUUUAUUCGCAUACGACUUAGCAAUAUAACAUACACACACGCACCUUCGAAGAGAAAGGGAAAAUGUAAGGAGGAGGAGGAGGAGGAGGGGGGAAAAAUGUCGUGAGAAAUAAGAAGGAAUAAAAAGAGAGAAAGAGGGAGGGAGUGACAAAUAUCAGGAAUAAAGGAGAGUAUAGAAGGAAAAGAAAAAUAAGGAAAGAAAAGAAGCUCUAGAUGGUAGGGAUUUAUGAAUGUGAAGUUCCUCGUUUAGGAUUCUACCAUUGUUGAAGGGAUCAAACUUAAGCUGUGGGGUUCUUCUAAUUUUAUCUAAGGUAACCUAGAUUCUUCCCCCAUAUACCCUCUAUUAAGUGUGUGUGUGUGUGUUUUUUUUUAUAUAUAUUUUUCAACCAUAAAUAUUUGUCUCGUAUUCCUUUAUGUAUUAAUGGCAAACAUUUAGCUCAUUCUUUUAUGUAUUAAUAUUAAAUAUUUGUCAUGUUUUUUUAGUGGCAACUACUUUAUCCCAUUUUUUAAUGUAUAAGUGAUAAUUUUUUUGUCCCAUAUUUUUUAUAUUUAUUAUAUGUUUUGUUUAUGUAUUAGUAAUAAAUCAUUUUUUUUUGUGUUUUUUUAUAUAUAUUUAUCAAUUUUUGGUAAAUUAUGUUAUUCAUUCAUUUGACACAUCUAUUGCAUCUUUCCAAGCAUCUCAUCCGAUUUGGAAAUUUAGGUGUUUUCUAAAAAUGUUCAAUCUUCUCUUCAAAUCAUUUGAUUAUCUUUGUAUUUGGGUUAUCUGUAAAGAAAGAGAUUGGUAUAUUUUUUAACAUAAGGAGACUUUGAUGGUUGAAAUCAAAGAAUAAAACUUAACUUUUGAUCUUUAUAAUCGAUGGCUUAGUCCCAUUAUGUGUUUGAGUUUUGUCUCUUUUAGUUUUGUUGUGGUUUUGUAAUUUAUUGUGGACAUUUUUAAAUUCUACCCUUGCUCACCUUGUGCAGGUUAGGAUUAUUUCUUGGGUUUAAUAUAUUCUAUUUUAAUUUUAUUUUUUAAAAAUUAUGAUUUUAAUAUUUAUAUUUUUAUAUAUAUGAUUAUAAAUAUUAUUAAUUGAAGUCAACAGUUGGCCCCGCUAACACAUUGGGUUACAUAUAACUUACUAAUUCAAAUUUUUAUUGUCAAAUUGUGAAAUAAAAUUAAAUAGAAUUAUAUGAAGAGAUCACGUACCCAAUAGGACAAUAUAUAAAAUUCAAAUAACAAUAUGUGAUAUAUUGACCAAAGAAAGAUCACAAUGUAGACCUUCUAUAUAAAUAUGUAACAAAUUCAUAGAUAGAACCACAAAUACAUAAUCAUAAGCAUCUCCUAAAAUUAUACAAAUUUUCAUUACCACAACCAUGGCUAAAAUUAUUAUUCCAAUAAUCUUAUGCUUUGUUGGGAUAGUUUCAGCUCAAUUGUCCACUGAUUUUUACUCAACAACGUGUUCUGAUGUGCUUUCAACCAUUAAAAGAGAAAUAGAUUCUGCUGUUGGUAAUGAGGCUCGUAUGGGGGCAUCAAUACUUCGUCUUCAUUUCCAUGAUUGUUUUGUUCAAGCAAGUCUACUUUCACUUCUUAAUUCUUCUAUCUUUUCAAUUUUUUUGUUCAUCAAAAUUUCAACUAUUAUAUAUGGUCAAUUGCAUUAACUAAAUAUAAAAGUACACAUACUCAAGUAUGCUUGUAUCACAUAUUUUACAUUUAUGCAAGAAAUAUUAUAUAUGAUCUAUAUGUGAUAAUAUGAUCUUUCAAUCCAUAAAUUUUAUAAAAUACAUAUUUAGUAAAAUGUUAUUGAGCGGUGUAACAUUACUCAAUUGUUUUACCGAUGUAAUUUGAUCUUCUUUGUAAAGGAGUACUCAAAUUACACUCAAAGAGUUGUGCUAAUAGACUAAUAGUUGCACUAAUAACAUCUUGUUGGAUUAAACCCAACUAUCAACAUUUUUCUUUUCUCAUUACUACUUAAUUGAUGAAAUUUGUUUAUUGAAAAUUAAACAACUGCAGGUGAGUCAAUGUGACAAGAGAAAAACAUUAAGAUUACACCCCCACACACGAUUUUUUAAUUGUUAAUUUUUACUUUCCAUUGCUCAUUUAAAGUUGUAAAAUUAUAUUUUCUUAUCUCUCAGAAUAUAAGUUAGAAAAAAUCUCUAAAUAUUAGUUUCUUUUUAUAUUAUUAGAUUUUUUAACAAAAAAAUGCUCCUAAUUAAUUUACUGCCUUUUUUAGAAUCAUUGUUUAACUAAAAUUUGUUUAUAUAUGACUUACUACUCUCUUCUUUAUAGAUUAUAUGACUUGCUACUCUAGUUAAUUUAUUAAAUGAGAUUGCUUAUUUAUCUUGUAAGGGCAUGGCAAAUUGGCAAUCAUGCGUAUAUUUCUUUAUUUAUUUUCUUAAAGAAGAACAUUUCUUUCCUUUUUUUUUUGUGGGGGGGAAUAACAACAUUUCUUUCCUUAAAUAAAGAAAGAACAUUUCCUAAUUCAUUAUUAUAAUUUUGUAAAGGCGUGGCAAUAUAAUUAUAUAUACGUAUGUUUUCUUAGAAGAAUAUUUCUUUCCUUGAAUUAAAAAAAGAACAUUUCUUGAUUAACAAGCAACAAAAUGUCAACUAAUGAUAUUAUUAUUAUUUUUUUCAACAAAAUCAUUUUGGUCAUCAAUCUUGUGUUUUGAAUAUAGGGAUGUGAUGCAUCAGUACUGUUAGACGAUACAUCAAGUUUCACUGGUGAAAAAACAGCAGGUGCAAAUGCUAAUUCCUUAAGAGGUUUUGAUGUAAUUGACACUAUAAAAACUGAACUGGAGAGUUUGUGCCCUAAUACUGUGUCAUGCGCUGAUAUCCUUUCUGUAGCUGCAAGGGACUCUGUCGUCGCAGUAAGUAAUAUUUGUUAUCACAAUGAGUUUGUCAGAAUCAUAGUGGUUCACUGUGACUAUGACAACCUACUAUGAUACAAAUCGUGCACUACGUAUUUUCAUAUAUAUAUACAACAUAAAGCUAUAGAUCAUUUAAUAAAGCAAUUUAAUUAAUUUGGAUUAAUACUAAUUAAUGUUGAAAAUAAUAAUAAAAAUUUCAGCUGGGUGGACCUAGUUGGACAGUGCAAUUGGGCAGAAGGGAUUCAAUCACAGCAAGUUUAAGUUUAGCAAACUCAGAUUUACCUGGUCCUGGUUCUGAUCUAAGUGGUCUUAUAACUUCUUUUGAUAACAAAGGUUUCACACCCAAAGAAAUGGUUGCUUUAUCAGGUAACUAUAGUUAGUACAUUUCUAAUCAUUUUAUAUACUAUUAUUACUUUAUUAUAAACUUAUCCUCCCAAAGUCAAUUUCUGGGGCUAAUUCGUAUGGAGUUUUGCUUUGACUUUAAACGAGCCCCCACAAUGAACAAUGAGAUUGAUUCUCUCCAAUUAGUCAGUCCUAAGGGUCGAUUAUUACUUUUACCAUACGCUUUGACUCAUACUUGCAAAACAAUAUUUUAGGAUCUCACACAAUUGGUCAAGCAAGUUGUAGAUUCUUCAGAACCAGGAUUUACAACGAUGACAACAUAGAUUCAUCAUUUGCAACAUCAUUACAAGCAAAUUGUCCUACCACAGGUGGUGAUGACAAUUUGUCACCACUUGACACCACUACUCCAAACACAUUUGACAAUUCUUAUUUCCAGAACUUGCAAAGCCAAAAGGGUCUCUUUUCUUCUGAUCAAGCACUUUUCAAUGGAGGAUCCACAGACUCUGAUGUUGAUGAAUAUAGUAGUGACUCUUCAAGUUUUGCAACUGAUUUUGCUAAUGCAAUGGUCAAAAUGGGGAAUCUUAAUCCAAUUACUGGGUCUAAUGGUCAGAUUAGGACCAACUGCAGGGUAAUCAAUUGAGUUUUGGGGCCUAUUGGGAACAUAUAAUGCAAGUUGAUUAUGGGUAUUUUUCAUUUUUAAGGUGUGCAAUUGUGUAAUAUUAUUGUGGCAAAGUCAAAGUUUCCAUAAAUGUAAGGUGUGUUUGAAUUUUAAAUGGAUUUAUGUCAAUGUUUGCAACUGUUUAAUUAUGAUCUUGUUUGCAACUGGCAGAGUCAAAUAUGUUUGUAUAUGAUAUAGUUCUCACAUCUCAGUAAUUAUAAAUUAAAAAAAUGGUUAAUCACUUUAAAAAAUGUGAUUAAUUAGUCGGUUGAGUGGAUGAUUAAUUCAAUUACUUCAACUAAAUAAUUAAUCGUAAUUUCAUAAUUUUCAACGUGAUCUAAAUUAAACACAUUCUCAAUUGAAUUAACCAUAUGAUUGCAUGUGUUUAACUAGAUGUAAGAAAAAUUGGAUGUCUAUCAAAUAUUUUGGUUUAUUUUGUAGUAUUGGUGUCAUGCUUUACAUUCUUUGACACUAGGGCUUAGAAAUAAAAUUAUUUUCCUCUAAUUAUUUUCUUAAAAAUACGUUUAUCUUCUUAUAUUGAAUGAGAUGUCAUUCUACUCUCUUGCCUUGGUCAAGCUCUAAAACUAAAAGUUAAUAAACAUGUAAAAUACAAUUUGUAAUUAUUGAUUAACUUGUUAGGUUCCCAAUGACUACCAUGUUAACGCAUUAUCAGAAUUUGAAGACGGCUUAAUAGAUAAAGCAUUAAAUAGCACUGAUAAACAUAACUGAAUAUUAAACAUAUUCCGAACAGAUUGAACACGAUCCGACCUUAGCUCAGUUGGUAGAGCGGAGGACUGUAGUUGGUUAACAGACAUCCUUAGGUCACUGGUUCGAAUCCGGUAGGUCGGAUUUUUUUUAUUUUUCCACAAAAACAUUUUUAUUUUAAUUAUUAUGUCUAAUAAAAUUAUAAAAUUCCACGGUCUCUUUUGUCAAAAAUAUUAAAUAAAUAACCCACGUGUCUCUCGACCAAUUCAAUCUAAUACUUUUUCUUCAACAUUUUUUGUAUUAUUUAUAUUUUGUCAAAAAUAUUUAUUUGUUCCUUUUAUCAAAAUAAAACAAAGAAGCACAUGUCUGUCGACCAAUUUAAUUGAGAACAGUCUAAAACUUUUCUUCAACAUUUUUGUUUUUUUGCAGAUUCUUCAAAAAUAAAAUUGUCAAUUAAGGAUCUGGUAUUUUAAUUUUGCGAAAACAAAUCUUAUAAUUUUAUACUUUGUAAUGUGAUGCGAGUGUAGAAAAUUCAACUAGCUCGACCAAUUCAAAAAUAAUCAGUCUACAUCAUCCGGCUGGAAUUUGCAAGGUUAGAACCACUUCAACUAGUUUUUUACUUCACACAAAUAUAAAAAUAUAAAAGGUCUCUUUCAAAAAUAUUACUCCCCCCGUUUCAAAAUGAGUGUUGCUUUAGCCAAAAAAAAUUGUUUCAAAAUAAAUGUCUAUUUACAUUUCCAAUGCAACUUUAAUUUUUUUCUUCCAACUUUACCCUCAAUGAAUACUCCAACUUUUCUCUCUCACAUAAUUUUCAAUGCAACUUUAAGUUUGUCUUUUUCUUAUAAAGUAAGGUUAUUUUAGUAAAAUUGUUAUGACAUUUGACUAUUUUAUUCCAUUUCUUAAUUUGUGUGUAAAUGGUUAAAGCAACACUCAUUUUGAAACGGAUGGAGUAUAAAAGACCCAUCAAUUUUCAUUGAAACAACUAUUUCAUUUAAAUGUAAUGAGGGAGAAACUUUCAUUACCUUCCAACAUGACUUUAAAUAUACACGAAUGAAAUACAAAUUUUGAGCUGUGUAAAAAUGAACUUCCAAACAAAUUAUGUCAUUAAAAAAUACACCUGUAUGUGGUUUAAUAGAAUAAAAAAACAAGGGUGAAAAUGCUAUCCAUCAACAUUGUGUUGCACAAGUGGUAUACAUAUAUGCUUGUGUUCAUUAACCAUUUUAUCUAAAGUUCGAUCUAUGGUCAGCAUGUAUGAAAAAUACAAAUUGUUGAAAGACGUCAACCCCUUAAGUAGAUUUUAGUUAUCCGAAAGGAUUAAUCUUUACCUUUGGGCAUAUGAUACAUUUGGUUUACCAAAAAAUAAAAUUAUGCUCAUUCCAAAAGAUUACACUUGCCUUAUACUAUUGAAUACAUUUGUAUAUAUACAAUAAUUAUUGUCACAGUCAUAAACCUAAUACUAAUAGAGCUCUAAAAGUCAGAUAUAGAACAAUUUAUUUUAUAUUAUGAAAUCCUUCGAUUAAUUGGCAUAUAACUUCUAAACAAAGGUGAAAAUGAUUCAUUGGCAUAUAACUUCUAAAUAAAGGUGAAAAUGACAGUACCUGCCUGACACUGAUAUCUCAAUAUGCACAUGACCAAUUCAAGGUGAGAGCUUUCAAUGUGCCAUUUAAAAUACAAGUUUUAGAUGUGUAUAAAAAAUCAUUAACUUAUUUCAACACCUUUUCGGGGUUUUCUUAGCAACAAGAGGGUGACCAAAAUUGUUUUCUUAAUUCAAUAACGUUGUUAAGCAGGGUUGGGCCAAAUCAAAGACCCACUUAGUGCACAUUGUAAAUAUAGAUAAUAAAUAAAUAAAUAAGAAAUGCAGAAACAUGAGAAUAUAUCUUCAAUGAAAGCGGAUCAUGUUAGAAUAAGCUUAUUUCUCAUUAAGAUGUCAUAAUUGAAGAUAGUGACAAGGGAGGGAAUGUGAACUUCCAUUCUCUAAAGAACAAUUUCAUAUCAAAAAGGGGGACACCUCCCUUAACCUGCCUCAGAAAGCCAUGCACCAAGGUGCAUGUAAUCCUAUCAAUGCUAGACAAUAAGUGAACAUCAAUCUUCCUUCAUAAACAAGAAAGGAAGAUGCAAUGCAUUCGGUAUUCUAAACUCCCCCAACCCCCAAAAAAAUGGAAUUGGCCUUGAGAAAAGUUGAGUUUAUAAAGUCCCUCUUACCCUGUCACUACCAUCUUUCUAAUCAGAUGACCAUAAUGAAUGUACAUCUGAUGUUGGAUAUUGUGGACUGCCAUUAUGGGGCCUUGCAGCAGAUGAAUUCCCUAUGCCUUCCACAGAACCAUGUAAAUUCCAUUCAUUUCUGCAAACGAACAGAUACACAAGAUGUUAAACAAAGAGUGAGAACAUGAGUUUAAACCGUUUUUAUUAACACUAAAAUGGAUAUCAACACACCCGAGACAAUGUCCGUACAGGCAUUAAGUUAAAAGAAUACAGUAGUUUUACACAAAAAUUUGCAAGUUGUAACACAUGUGUUGACUUCCAUUUAAAAUUUUUCAUGUUUAUCUGGUUCAACCAGUUGGCUGUUUAUGAAUAUUUUGCUGAUGGCGUUUAUCUACAAAGCUAUAUUUAGGAAGGACAAUAAAACUGACUGCAACUGGUGUUUAUCUACCACGUCAUGAAUCAAUCAAUGGCAAACCAGAAGAUCAAAAAUAUUGUCCCACCCCAGAUGCAGUAUAUACCCAAUCACUUCAUUUCAUAAUUAAAUAAGUGUAUGAUCGUAGAGAUGUGUACACACAACGCAAUCAUUUAAUUUGCAAUUAAAUCCAAUAUUACUAAAUGGAACAGCGUAAAGGUCAUUAGCAGCUGAAUCCUAGAAAAAAAUUUGCCUGUAUUUUAUGCAUCCCAUCAUAUCCUACAUAACAUAACAAUAGGUUUCUAUUUCAAUUAAAACUAAUUAAAUUACCUUCCAUAUGUAUCAACAUACGUGGGUUCAUGGACAACAGAAAUACAUAGAAAUCUUGCUAUAAGCCAUAAUUCUGUAAGCCCACAUAGAAACCAUAUGUUCAAACCUACUUCAACUCUAAACCAUAUUCAGUUUGCUACUCCCAAUUCAUAUCUCAUAAAUCUCGGGUGCUCAAUGGAACACACAAUGCUAGAUCUUGUUUUACUCAGAUAAUUAGCCCUCCUCCCUCACAUUAUUAUUAGACUAUGCAAGUAGAAAAAGAGUAAAUGAUUACUACUGCACAUCAAAGGCAGAUCAUUCAUAUUUAAAACAUGAAAUGAACAUAAAUUUGUUUAGCACACUUCCUAAUUGCCUAGAUUCACUGUAUCUCAAUUUGUCUUUAUAAGACUCCUUUCUGUAAGGAAAUAUUCAAAUGAUUUAAUCAGUCCGUUCAAAAAUUCCCUAGAGCAAUAUGCACUGCUCUGGAUAGUGGGAUUCAGCCUCCUAAAAGUACAUUUUGACCUACUUAGUUUGAUCGACUAAUUUCAACAUCUUAGCAACCCAUAACUUGAGAAACAGCCUACUAACCACUAUGACGCUAAAGUUUACACAACAGCAUAGACAAAAAAAGUUCAAAAAUUCGAACAGCAAGGUAGAUCCAUAAACAACAGGCAUAUUAAUUAAACAAGUCAUACAAUAACAGGCAAAAUUAGGCCAAACAGUUAUUUACUCACUUGGGCCAACCGUUAGCUGGUGAAGACUCCAGAACAUUACUGCUAGCAGAUCCGCUUGGAUUCCCAUACAUCCUUUCAUUCUGAGAAAUCUCAUGAGGUUUAAGGCCACCAGAUAAAGGUGGAAAGAGACCGUUUUGUAACCAAGGAUCAUAUCCUCUUGAAACUGCAACAGGACUGAAGGUCCCAUCACUAUUACCAUUAGGAUGAAAAACAUUCUGGGCAGAAUAGCUACUGGGAACUAUGUUAUCAUCUUUGUUAAAAACAUUAGUUGUAGUCUUCUGAAAUGCUGGGAAGAUAAAGUCAUCAUUGGUUGGCAUGUUCCUUUGUGAGGAUGAAAGCCAACUUCCUGGGCCACCAACAAAACCUAAACCUUCCGGACCAAGAGGUGAACUACUCCACAUCUGCCAUGUUCCCUUCUCAAUUGCAGCUGCAUCAUCCAAAGGAAAUGGAUGUAUACCUUGGGCUAGGGGGUUACUAGUAAAUCUAUUAGAACCAUUAUUCUUUUCUCGGGUCAAUGGGGACUCAAUUGGAGAUGGCUUAUUGACGUCAGUACCAGAUGUGUUUCUUAAAGAGCGGGGCUUUAUUACUUCUGCGUCUUUUAUAAAGCCACUUCCCAAAUCCAACGGAAAAUUAUCAAGUGACUCAUAAACAGGACCAAGCAAGGAUGAUGGAUGUGGGACAUAACAGGGGUCUUCAAAAAGCUCUUGCUCUUCAUGCCUAAAGUCAUGUGAUGUAUUUACAACAGGAGGGAAUACAGGUUCAAUUGCAGGAGAGAAACCUAGACUACAACUAGUUGAACCAUUAAGAUUAGUAGAAAUAUUAAACGGUGAUGGUAGACCAAACUGAAUUGGAUUGUUAAAUGAUUGUGUGACUGGUGACUGGCCAGAUAAUUGAGGGCUUUUGGCUUCAACUUGAAUUUUAGAAUUCGGUCUACAUAUUACAUUUGAAUUUGAGGAUUUAGGAACAGAUGAGGAACGAGUAAAUAAUUGCUGCCAUGACUUUUUAGGUGCAGUCCAUGGCUUUGGUUCUGGCAGAACCUGCAGGGAACAAUCAUCAGGUCAUGUAUUUAUAAAAAAAUUGACACUUUCCUAAAUUGAUCGUUGGUAACUAUAAAUUAAUACUAAAUAGAGCACCAUUUAGUUUUCAUAAAUUUCAAAGAUUGAAUGUUCAAAAUGGUACACACAAAAAAAAAGGGUAGUAAUAAUACACUGGCCUGUAAAAUCCAUCUAAGUAUAAAAAAUUCCUUUGAACAAAAAGUUAAUAAUACUAUAUCAAUCAACCUUCAGAAAAGCCAGAAAACAGAAUUAUAAAAAGCAAAGAAAGGGAGAGACAGUAAGCAUGACAACUUACAGAAUGACUGAUAUUCUUAUCAUCUCCAUUCAAAUUGGAUUUAGCAGCUGGACGUUCAGGAAGAAGUAUAUCUCUCUUGCUGGCAGCAGCAUGAGCAUGAUCUACAGAUUUGUUAGACUUGCUUUCUUUCACCACAGUGGCAGGAAUAUUAGCACCCUUUCCAAAACCAAGUGCUUUUGAAGAAGACAAAAUUGUACCACGCAUGCGAUCAAGGUACCUUGUCCCAGUACUUCCUUGGUUAUAACUAUUUGCAACCAAAUUUUUACUAUGUGCAGUAUCUGUACUCUGUCCUUUGCCACUCUCUAAUCCAGAUUUCUGAUGCACUCUAUGAUCAGUUUCAGUCUUUUUGUCAAAGUCCCGCUUUCGUUCACUUUCUUUGGUAGCUCUUUUAUCCAAUUCUUCUACAUCAGAAUUGCUCUUACUAGACCCUUUAUCUUUCUCUUUUCUUCUUUCCUGACGCUUCUUUUCAGCUUCCUUCCUUCGGUCUUUCUCCUUACUGGUAUGUGAUAAUUUGCUGUUAUCUUUUUCAGCUUCUAUUGUCUCAUCUCUCAGCCUCCUACGCUCCUCCACUAACUUUGCAACCUCUUCCCUCUGUUUUCUCUCUUCCUCCUCCAAAAGUUCUCUCUCUAGCCUAGCCUGUCUUUUCUCUUCGGCUUUCCUCCGUGCUUUUUCUCCUCUACUUUCAUUCAAAUUUUCCCCAUUCUCACCCCUUUUUGCCAAGAGUGCCCUGCGUUCAGCAUCAGACAAAUAUUCUUCCCUUGAACUAAUUCUAAAAAUCUUUCGCCAAAGCCAUCUAAUGGUCAAGAAAAAAGAUGCCAAAAGCCUGCAAACAAACACCAAAAUACCAGAAUAUGACCUAGUUGUCAAACAAUGCUCAUCUCCAAAAAUACUUCCAUUCCCAUUCAUCCUCCAGUUGAUAGCAUUACCUCGAACGGAACCACCAGCCCAAUUGCCAUUCUCUAACCAGUCCUGACUGCACAUCCACCCAUUUUUUCCAACCAAAUCCUUAACAAUACCAGAAUUCGAAAUCUGCAACUCUUGCGACCCAGGCAAGUCCAAAACCGGUCUCUUCGAUACAUGCCCACAAUACGAACACAUAAACCGACUCCCACCAGGAUUCUGAUCUCUAUACGGAUUCAAGCAGUUACGACACCUCCUCGUAGCCGUCUUCCUCAGUUUCUGCAUUUCAAUAGCUUCAAACCUCUUCCUCUCCCUAAGCCUAGCAUUCCUCCUCACCCGCCAAGCCGACAGCUGAGGCAUCAAAAUCUCAUACCAAAACAGAGUAACCAACAACACAAAAACACAAGCCAGUCUCGGUGAAGUAAUCUCAAACCUAAAAGCCGGUGGCAGAAGUUGAGAAAGUGCCCAUAAACCAAUCAAAGGAAUAACCAACCAAGGCAGCAUUGUAGCAACCCGGCGAGAACACUUCUGAAUGACACACAGUAUACACAUUAUCCUCUUACCCAAACCCUCAAUCCAAACCCCAGCAACAAUCCAAUUUCCCAGAUACUCUCAAGCUAAAGACCAAUACUUUAUAGAAAAACCCUAACCCUAAAUUCUACUUCUUUCUCUUCCAAAUCAAAUUCAAAAUCAAACAAUACACUUCAAAACUUCAAAACCCUAAAAUACCAAACAAAAAAAAUGAAAAAAAUCAGAAUCAAUAAAACCCUAAUUGUGGGAGCUAUGAAGCUUCAACUAUGGCGAUAAAACCAUCAAUAGAAAGAGAAUUGAAAAUGGAAUCGAACACUUACAGAUUCAUCGUCAAAUAACGGGUUCAGAAGCGAACUUGACUCAUUCAAAUUUGGGUUGGUGAUUUUUGCGGUGUGAAGAAAUAACGAUUAUGUGAAAAUGAGAUAAGAAGAGAAAGAAGAAGAACAAGAAAAAGUGAAAGACAAAAACCCGAAGAACCAGUAAUUGAACCGGGGGUUUUGGGUUGGACCGGUCAAGGUGAACCGAACCGGGUCUUAUUCUAGUCUUUACUCUCUUCGUGGUUAAGAAAUAAGGAAUAAGUCCUCAGGUGAAAUUUGUUCCAAGCUUGUCUUGUUGAGCACGUAAUUAAAAAUUUGACAAAAAACAAAGUAAUUAAAAAAAUUAAUUGUUAGUAAUUUUGACCAAAUUAAAUGUAAAUGAAGAAAAAGAUAAGGGUAAAGAUUUUACUAUUAUUUUUGUAUAUAACUCUUUAAAAAAAGUUUGGAACUCUAUAUAGAUAUGAUCGAAUUAAGCUUAAUUUAUUCUGGUUAAUAAUUUGAGUUCAUGUAUUUGGUCGAUAUUCCUAUUUUAUAUACAUUGGAUUGGAUUGUAUAUUAAAUGAAUAUUUGAUUGUUUUGACUAGUUUAGUGAAUAUUCGAUUAUUACUAAUUUUAGAUUUCAAACCAAGUAAACAUUUUUUUCCUGAAAAAAUGGGUAAGAAAUACAGUAAGAUUGAUCACUUUUCGACUCGGUUCAUGUUUUCUUUUCGGUUUACUUUUCCAUUUAGUUCAUGAUUUAGAGUCAGUUUGUUAUAGCUUUUUUAAGAAAAAAAUCAUUUUUUUUAAGAAAAUAAUCAAUUUUGAGAAUGUUGCAUCAGUCUGUUAAAGCAAAAAAUCUAAUAUAUUUGAAGCUGUUAAGAGCAUCUUCACAAAAAAUAGAUUUUUUUAGAGGAGAGAUAAAAUAUGAUUUAAAACAUUGAACUAAUUUUGUAACAAAAAAUCAUUUUCAUAUAGUUGUAUCCAAACAAACUAAAUUAUUUGUUUAAAAAAAAUGAUUUUUUCCUUCAAAAAAAAAAAGUGAUUUUUAUCAAUUCUGAUUUUUCAUAAAAUCUCUAAAAUAUAUGGCCCUUUGUUACGGAUUAAAAUAAAAGUGAUUUAUUACAUAAAAUAAUUUAGAGAUUAUAUUUUAGAGAUUUUAUGAUAAAUCAGAAUCUAUUUUGUGUUUGUUUAUCGUAAUAAAAAAAACACUUUUUUUAAACAAAUAAUCUAGUUUGCAUGGAUACAAUUAUAUAAAAGGGACUUUUUGUUACAAAAUUAGUUCAAUCUUUUAAACAAUAUUUUCUCUCUCCUCUAAAAAAAUAUAUUUUUUGAGAAUCUGCUCCUAACAGCUUCUCAUUUGAAGCUGUUUUUAGAUAAUUUUUAGAUUCUGAUUUUUUUAAAAAGUUGCAACAAACGAAUGCAAAACUCUUAAAAUUGAUUAUUUUUUUAAAAUAAGUGAUUUUUAUUUUAAAAGCUCUAUAACAAAUACAUAUUAUGAUAAAUAUCAAAGACUUACGAUUAAUUAACUAAUUUUAGUAUCACAAAAAUAUAAUUAUAGUAUAUAUAAUGUGUAGGGUGCAGAGCGGGCUGGGCACUAGAGUACCCUAAUUGCGCCCCAUACCCGCUCAAAUUUGCGGGUAUUUUCAUAAGUCCAGACCCAGACCUAACAAUGUGGGUAUUUACAUGUUCAUUGUGAAUAAUUUUUUUGGGUGUCCAUUAGACUUUGUCUAAUUACCAUCCCUAUUCGCCGGGAAUAUGCAGUCUUUAGUUUAGCUAUAAUCAUUUGGAUUGAUUCAAUCAUGUAUCAAUAUUUGUAUGACUGUUUAUUUUCUCACCCUAUGAGUUUCUCACGUGUCCUAUGCAGUUCAGAUUUUAAAAUCCGAACUGCAUAAAAAUACCAAAAAUACAUUGAAAUAUUUCGGAUUUUAAAACUCGAAUAAGCGCGCGAGAACCUCGUAAGAUGGAAAAAGUAAUGACAUAUUUGUAUGUAUCAGGUUUUAGGGGUUCAAAGUGCCCUAGGCCUUUGCUCUAACUUUGUUGUUUCCGUUGCUGUAUCAGCCUGUGACUUUUGUUAGGCAUAUGUUAUGCCUUUAUGUUUAAUAUAUAUAGUAUUUUUUCCUUGCCUUUUCAAAAACGUAAAAAAGGGUCUCUAUACCACUCUACUACUAUUUUUCUCUAAAAUUUUCUUUGGAUUACCUCACUUGAACUAAAAUGGGUCUAACAUUUGAUUAGUCCUAUGACCAAAUCAAGUUUAUAAUCUAAGACCGUUUCCUCGACUAACUUUCAAGUCCUAAUGUAUAAACAAAACGUCCAACCAAAAUAUUAUUUUUUUCAAAAAAAAAUAUGCAUAUAACUUGGCUUAUUUUCUUUAACUUGUAGCAAGCAGCAAUAGUUUGACCUUGGUUUCUAAGUCUAUUGUCUGCACUACACUCUGUACUCUCUUACGAAAUCUUUAGUUAGUAAGUGGAAAUCUGAUUAAAUAUAUCAGUGACAAUCAAUAAAUGUAUCAGCUGAAAACAAGGUCAACAAUAUGUGCAGCAUUUCAGUUAAUCCCUUUCUUUGUUCAACAUUUUUCUUUAGUCCCUGCAGAUUUCUCUCUCUCUCUCUAUAUAUAUAUAUAUAUAUAUAUAUAUAUAUAUUGGUACAAAGGUUUUUAUACUUUAUUCCAUUGUUUUUACGAUUGUUAAUUAAAUUUAAGGAAAAAGAUAGGUAGACACCCUUUUUCAUACACUUCUUAUGUACACCCCCAUGUAUUAGGGGUAUUUGAGUAAUUUUACAUCAUAUCAUCACCCUUUUUCAUCUCUCCUUUCAAUGUUUUUGCCACGUGUCAUAAAUGUGUGUGGGUGUAAAAGGGUGUAUGCCACCUAAGGUGGUUCAUGUAUAAGAGCUCUAAAUUUAAUAGUUAACUCUUGUUGAAUCACUAUUAGUAAUUUUUUGUUUAUAUAGAUAUAUAUUUUUUUUGAAGGAAUUUAUAUAGAUAUAUAUUAUCAUACAUAUAUAGAGUGGCCCAUAUGCACGUGGGCAAGUUGGGAGAAGUUCAAAGUUUUUUCUGCCGACAAAUUUAUAUAAGAUCGACCAAGAUCAAACAAUUGUUUGGUUGUUGGGUAUCCUUUCAAUUAAUCUGUUAUUUCCGGAAUAGAGAUCUCUUAUACUUCUUUUGCAUUUGAUUUGCAUCAUAUUAUAAUGUAAGCAUAGAGACACCAAAAAUAAUCAAAGUAUUUGAUCCAUAAUACAAUGUAUAAGGUGGUUAACCCCACUUGUGGUUCUAAUGAGGUGGUUAUACCUUAUCAUUUAGACACUUCUUUUUUAGUAACUUGACACAAGGUAUUAACUUAACUUCGUGUGUUUAGAUUCACUGCUGUGAGUUUGAAUUUAAACAAAAAUAUUAAAACUGCGGUAGAAAACCAUAGUAACAACAAACUAUAUACAUUUGAACUUCUAAAAUUAUAGUCAAAGACUUCUAAAUUUAUAGUGGCAAUAGCCCACGGCUCAAUCAAACACAAGAUAAACUAAAUUUUCUUAAAAGAUUAACUGGACACAAGAUAUAAUAUGGUACAUGUGAAGCCCUGAUACUUUAAAAUAGUUGACGUAUCGUAUCCCCUGUGUAAUGACUGAUACUUUUCGAUACGUAUCAGAAGAGUAUCCGAAGAUUAAAUUUUUUUUUUUUUUUAAAUAAUUAUCCGAUACUUCCCGAUACGUAUCAGGAAAUUAAGUAUCCGAUAAUUAUCAUGCACCUAUAUCUGCCCCAAUAAUUUCCAAUUAACGUUAUAUAAAAUAAUUUAACUCUUGAGUAUAGUGCUUCUUUUUUGGAUCGAUAUAGUAUAGCACUAACAAUGUUUCUUUUGGAUAUAGUACAACACUUAUGGUAUAAGUGCUUUUUUUUAUAUAUUGGAUAUGUAAUUGAGUAAUUGUCACUCUCUUAAUCGUCAAUAUUAUUUAUAUUUAUGUUGAUGUGCUACGAGCCUAUGACUGAUUUCUUUUGUUUGUUAAUAUGUUUGCAUAUUAAAAAAAUGGUUAUAAUUAUAUUGUACAUUUAAUUAUAUAAUUUUUUUUAUUAACGUAUUCAGUCGUAUCGUAUCUUGAUUUUUGAAAUUUUUCCGUAUCGGCGUAUCAAUGCAGUAUCGUAUUCGUAUCGUAUCUCGUAUCCGGGCUUCACAGGUCAGGACAGUCUAAAGCUGGUGCAUUCAGACCCAGACCCGUCUCGCAGAGUCUCAAAAUUUUGAGGCUUCCAAAAUUUAUUUUAUUUAAACUUAUAAGGAUUUUUUUUUUGUGGUGUCCGGGAUUCAAACGCCGGACCUUACAUAUAUUAUGCAUUAACCUUACCAACUGGAGUUAAACUUACAGGGACGUUAACUUUUAUAUGGAUUUUUUUUAACUUAUAAGGAUGUUAACUUUUAUUAAACAAAAUAGUUCAUUACUCCCUCCGUCUCACAAUAAUUGUCUCUUUAGCAUAUUUUUUUAAAAAUAAUUGUCACUUUACAAUAUCAAUGCAGUAUUUUAUUUUUUUUUUCUUCCACUAUUAUACAUUUAUUUAAUAAAUUUCAUUCAACUUAACUACUCCACUAACUACAAUUAAUAAGAGUAUUUUAGUAAAUGAUGAUAUUAAUUUUACCAUUGAAAUCAACACAAUUAAUCAUUUCCUUAAUAAUCGUGCACAAACCUUAAACGACUAUAAUUUAGAGACGGAAGGAGUAAAACUAUCUACAAUAUAUGAAAAUAUGUUUAGGUUUAAUUGCACUUUUGGCCCCCUAUAUUUCAAGAAGUUGCGAUUUUGGCUCCUUAACUAAUUAAAAUACAAAACAGCCCCCUAUGUAUUGGAUCUUUGGCAGUUUUGGCCCCCUAACUAAUUAAAAUACAAAACAAUCCCCUACAUAUUGGAUCUUUGGCAGUUUUGGCCCCUUAGACAAAUUUUGACUCGAUCAACGCUGACGUGACACUUCAAAGCCGCCACAUGUGCAUUGUUUCAAUUAAAAAUAAAAAAAAAUUACAUUAUAAAUUAAAGUAUUAAAUAAAUGAAAAAAAUAACAAAUAAUUAAAAAAAAAAAAAGAAAAAAAAAAAGAAAAUCGCGUUCCAAAAUCUGAUUCUCCAUCUUCUUCCACCGAAACAUCAACCAAACACUAUUUGGAGGUACAUCGUUGAGUACUAUUUGAUUUGAUUGAUGUUAAGAAGUUGUUGAAAAAAAACAUUGUUCCUAGUAUAUAUUCUUUAUGGUAGAAACCCAGUCCUCUUAAUUAUGACUAGGCAUAUAUUAAAUUUUGUACUCCUGCAUGAAUCCGUGACACACGAGAAAUGUAGAAAUAAAAGGUAACAUUCAAACGUGGGUAAGGGCACUUUACCCUACACUAUACGACUCAACAACAAAAUGGUGACUUUUACGAAUUAAUAGUAUGAAAGUUACUCUUACAAAUUUUUAGUCUUUGCAAUGAAUAAUGGUGUAGAUAGUUGACAAAAAAAGAACACUAAAAUUGGCCUUAUUUAGGAAAAAAUACAGUAAUAUGUCAAAUAUGAUGAAGUAAGAUGUUUCUUCUGCCGCCCCUUCAAUUAUGUAAAGGGACAUGGCUAGUAGUGAACAAAAAUUUUCAACUGUUGUGGCCCUUGUGGGCUUAGGCCCUCAUUGUUAUAAAAGAGAAUAAAAAAAAUUCAACUGUUGAGUUGUUCUAGAAUAUGUGACAAAUUCUAUGAAUGUGUGAGAAGAAAGAGAGAAUAAAAAUACUAGAAAUCUUAGUUUGAUACAUAUAAGUUACACACACUCAAACUUGAUUUCGAAAAAAUGUUUGGGUGUGAUCUGCGAAAGCUGAUUUUAGUUAUAAGUGAGUUGAAUGUAAAAUGAUUUAUGUUUGAAUACGUUUAUGUAAAAGUGAGACAAAUUUUAAUGUAAAAAUCAGAUUUAGAGAUAAAAACUACAAAUCAUAACUUCAAUUUAAAAUCAAUUAUACUUGAACACGUUCAAACGCAUCAAAAGCAAUUCUACAUAUCCAUAAUCAAUUUUAACUCAUGAUCAACAGUGAAAUCAAACACACUUAGUGGAUGUUUGGGUUCGUGGAGCGAUGGUUAGAAUUACGAUGAACCAUCACAAUUUUGACAAAAACUACACUCACAAGUUACAACUUCAACAAAUAUUUGUGAUUUUGUCAAACUGAUGACAAAUCCAAACAUAUAUAAUUAGUAUCGUUUUUCCCAAAGAUCAUCUUUGGUUUCUAGUCUUUAAACUCAUUUGAAACUUUAUUUCAAACUUCGAUUAAAGUUUUCAAAUGUAAACCAUUUUUCAAACUUAAUUUUAACUAAAUUUAAAUUGAAGUUAUGUUCGCAGUUUAAUUGGGCUUGGUAUUGAACAUUGACACGGCACCAUUACAUAUAGUUAUGUUCAAUCACAAUAUUUACGUGUUAGUGUCAUCCCUAGUGCUUGUCGUGAUUGAUUGUUCAAAAGUCAAAACCAAGUUUUGCAAAUAUUGAUCAACCAAAGCACAAUAAGCCAUAGAAAAAGAAAAGCUGAAAAAUUCAUUUACAAUUAUUUCUAGCAUGAUACUAUUGUCACAAAUAACAAAACUCAUAAAAUAAAAAAACCAAAAGAAGAUAUAACAACAAGAUCUUGCUGGAAAUUAAGGUCCAUGUAUUCAAUGUACUCAAGUCACUUUAGCACAAAGUUCAAAGAUCCAUAAACUAUUUAUGAUGGUUUAAACAUCAUAAUAUGUUUAAGAUAUUAAAAUACACCUUAGAAUUAACCAUAACAAUUAUUUGAGAAGAAACAAACUCACUCUCCUAGAAAAUUUGUUUGCUCUUUAAGCAUGAAGAGCAAAGAGAUUAAUUACACAUAAAACUCUAUUUAAGUGCAUGUUUAAAUUAACAAUAACAUUGACAGAGUCACGAUACGCUACAGUGAUUUUGACAAAACUAUAUUUUAGAGUUUCAACAAAAUCGUAAUGCUACUAAUUUCGUUUAACUACUGAUCACCGUGAUACGAAACAUGCACUAAGCUAGUAGAACUCCCUUGGCCAGUUGGCCAAGGUAGAAUCGACUAUUAAGCUUACCUUUUGGAGAACCCUAGGAAUCCACUAUGAGCCUUAGUGCUAGUUGAACGAGAAAGACCAAAGCAUAGUGUUGAAGUAGGUGAAGUAGCAUCUUCAUCUUCUUCUCUUGUGAAAUCAAUAGAUGAACCAUAACUUAGAAAACGCCUCCUUCUUGUAACAACUUUGGAAGAUGAUGAUGAUGAGUCUGAGGAAGAACAUGAAGCAGAAGAAUAAUAAGGUGAAGAAGGUGAAUUAGAGGGUGAUGAAGAUGAUGAAGACAUAAUAUUUUUCUUAAGAUUUAGUUUUGGGAAAAGUGCAAGAAAAAUAUUGGAUCUUGAGUUUUUCUUAAUUGGUGUUUUUUUGCAUGAAUAAUAAGAAGGUGGAGGAGUAAGAGGAGGAAGAUUUUUCUCAGAGAAAGUAUAUUUUGGUGUGCCAGGUUGAGAUUCCCAAACAAAAGGGACAGUAACAGCUACUCUAAAAGAAGGAUUGGAUAUGGAACUUUCUUUUGUAAGAAGUCUGCAGAAGAACUUGUCAUCUUGCUUGAUUUGGAGUAUAGUUUUUUGUGGUUGCUCAGAUUUGGAACUAAACAUGUUUGAAUGAGAAUUUUGGUAACUUAGUUUCAAUAUGAAUAAUGUAAAAUGAGUUUGAAGUAGUUUGUGUAGAGAGAAAAGAUGUGAUAUAGAGAUUUGGACUUUGUAUUUGUUUAUUUAAAUAAUAGUGUUAACUGUUAAGUGUCACAUUGAAAUGAAGUCAGCAUGUUUGCAUUUAUAUAUUUUAAUUAAUCUGAAACACAUGCAACUCGAUUAUUGAAAGCUAUUGGUACUAUUAUUACUAGUAUAUAACACACUGUUUGAAUUAAAAAGGUUCUUGUUUUUUAUGAAAGUAAAUAAUAUAGUAAUAGUAUAUUUUGAUUUGACCAUUCCCACUUGCUUGUUUUGCUGCAUGUAGUGAGGAAAAUUUGAGCCUACAAGUUUGUGCUUCUUGACCCUUGAAUAGGAUUUGCUUGCUCGCCAUCAACUUGUUGCAUGAUAAUUCUUGCUGGUAUUAGAUGUUGUUCAUCUUUUACGAAGAAUUUAAAGGGUCAUGUAUAGUAAUAUUGUGUCAUCUAGGUCUAUAAACGUUUUAUUUAAGAGGAUUGAUUUUAUCAUUUUAAAAAGAUUAGUGUCGCCGUUUGUUGUAUGUUUGUCUUUCAUCCUUAUAUAAAUUACAUUUCUCUAACACCAUCAAAAAAAAUCUUGCUUGGUCACAAACAUCUAGACUCUUGAUUUUAACACACAAACAAGAUAAAAGAUAGAUAGAAAAAAUAAUUAAACACUAAUGACUACUAUCAUGUAAAUAAUUUUUCUAUUAUGUUUAAAUUUACACCGAAUAAAAAGUCAAAAAUAGUAAAUUUUUCUUCAAACUUGUACACUUUAUAUUUAAAUACAUAAUUUUAUAAUAAAUAAUUCUUAUUUUCAAUAAAAUAAAAAUAUAUCUUUUUAGUUCUCUUAACCUAUGCAAUACUACAUUGGUUAGACAGACCAUUUUUAAAUAUUUAAAUUAAAUUAGAUGUUUUUAUAUGUAUGUCUAAAUCAUAUGCACAAAUGUGUGACCAAGCAAAACUUCCUCAUUGUUGUACAUCUAUUUGAACACGGCUUUAUGGUGCAGCCUUAUGUAUAGCCAUUAGAUUAAAAGAGAGAUAAUCUAAGUCUCUGCAGAAUGUUUCACCAUAAAAUAAUUGUAGAGAAUCUAUUUCACACUUUGCUUAAUUAUUUAUAAGCUAAAUUACUAGUCUUUUAAAUUUAAGGUUUGUAAUAAAUAGGUCUGUUAAAAUAUUUUGGUAACACACAAGUCCUUUAAGUUUGUAGACGUUUUCAAUUUAAACCUUCGGUUAACCAAACGUUACAAAAACUUGACAGUUAAGUGUAUGAUAUGAAUGAACAUUAGCCUGUAAAACUCAUUUAAUUAAGUACACACUCAAUAGAGACAUGGUGUUGGGUAAUGCUUCAAAAAUGCAAAGAAAAACAAAACAUUUAAACUCAAAUUUUAAUUGAAUCUCAUACGCCUUCUUAAAAUAGUGAUAUAUGUAGACUUUCACAGCAUCCCACAUGAGUUGCUUGAUCUAGCAGCAUGAUCAUGUACCCAAAGAACAUGCUGAAUUUACGGCUACAUAGGAGUCAAACUUGAAAAUAGCACUACAAAAUAAUCCCUUAACAUGGGGUACCCCUGCCACAUUAAGGAACACUCUUUAAUUCCUAUUGUAUUAUAAAUGAAUAAAUUCAGAAUUUUCUUGUGUUACGGGCCCUUCACAUGCAGCUUCCAGGAAUUUACGCCAUUGAUGAAGACUGAACAAACUGAAAUUGGCCAAUAUGGGUUUAUUAAUUUAAUAAUUUGGAAAGACCUAGAUAUAUCAUAUAUUAUAUAGCUAGGCCAUUGUUAAUUAAAUUAGUAGGUUUAUGAAUGGAACUAAACUAAAUGAAUUGAAGAGAAGAUCACCUAACUCAAGUGGACAUGUAUGUGUGGACCAUCUCCAUCAUUUAUGAUAUGAACUUAAAUUGAGUGGAUUGUAGUCUGUAUCCUGUGAGUGUUACUUAAGGUAAAGUGCGUGGCACUUAGUGUUUGGACAUGGAACCUUUAUUGUAAAUAUCUAUGUAUAUAUGAGAUGUCGACGGGUAUCCACAUACGAUAUCCUCAUCAUUUAAUGGAAAAUCUUAUUUCAAAUACACUAAUAUCCAAUGGCACAGGUUAGAGAAAUGUUAAUCAGUACCAGAUAAUAUUACUCUGCAAGCCGCCGUGUAGGAUAAAAAUGAUAUAUGUGUUUUAUUUAAUCGGCGAAUGAUGUAUUUUUCAUGAGUCGUGAUAUUUGGUUUUAUUAUAUGGGUAAUACUUGGUUUACUGUAAGUAUUUCUCUUGACGCUUGACUUGUUGCAUGUAUUCUUUAUGAGUCCUGAUAUUUGGUUUGCUGCAUGGAUAACACUUAACUUGUUGCAUGCAUUAGUCUUGACACUUGGGAUGCAUUUUAGAUGCCAAGUGGUACAAAUGACAGAGUCAUUUUGCUAAAGGACAAACAAGGGUAGAAUUAAUAUUGUCAUUUUAAGAAAUCUGCAUUUUGGCGCCUAAGCAAGGGCAUUUCAAUAAAAUGGGUUAGGGUUGACCUAGAGUUUGGCAAGGGUUUACUACAAUACUUAUUGAUGCAAAGAUGAAAACAAACUUGUGCAUGAUACAAGAUUUAUCUCACUUGUGCACCAUAAAAUUGACCUAACUAAUAUAAUAUUUUAAUAAUUUUAUUAAACUAAGGGUUAAAUUUUUUUUUUGAUAUUUAUCAAUAUUUUAACUUUUUGUUUUAGUUUGUAUAACAUUCUUUUUCGACAUUUAGUCUCUCAUAAAUUUUUCAUCACAACUUUUGAACGUUGCUUUUAAGUUAACUUUUAUUUAUCAUUCAAAAUUUUAAUUUUUUUUUUCUCUUGCAUUUAUAUUUAGUACAUUCAAGCAUUUCCUCUUUCAAAAGUUUUGUUUUUUUUUUUUUUAACGAGAGGUGAAUUAAAUAUGAAAUUUUACUCUCUUCGUUUCAAAAUAAAUGUUGCAAUUUUAUAAUAUGCAUUAUUCACAUAACUUAUUUUGACCAUAUUUUUUAUAUGAUUUUUUAUCAUAAAUAAUUAAAUAUAUGGUCUUGCUAACAAGUGUCCUAAGGGCACUAGCUAAUGCUCUAAAUUAGAAAUAAUUGGUAAGUUUUAUGUAAAAAAAAAAUUAGUUUUUCAAGUUUUAAUGUAUUGAAUGCAUCAAUCCCAAGACAAAAUUUCUUCUUUAGGAUUCUUAAAAACAAGGAAAAUUCUAUGACUUUUAUGGUGAAGUUAACAUUAUAGCAUCAAAAGUGUUGUGAGUAACACCCCACGGUUUGUACAGUGGCAUCAAAAGUUCAGUCCCCAUAAUAUCAUCAAUUCAUCAAAUUAACAAGAAUACACUUAAUCUAAUUUUAUUCUACCUUGUUUUAAGUGUAACACUUAAGACUAUCACAUGAUAUCAGCAACUCUAUUUGCAUGUUAAAGAUGUCAACGAUAAAAUAGUAUCUGUAAGUCUAAGAUGUUGCAAGUAUUACUAGAUGAAUUAUUGUUGAUCAUUAAUCGGUAAUCAACAAUUUAAAAAUGAAUCAAUCAUUAAGAUUAAAAUUAACUUUUUCAAAAAAGUCAGUUUCAUGACUGCACCUUAGAAGCUCCCUCUUAACAAUUGCUCUAAUGACACUUGUUAGCAUUUCCCUUAAAUAUAAUAUUAAUGUCAAAGUUUUUGUAUAUAUUGUCAUGUGUGCGGUGAUUGAUUGCAGCAUAUAUUUUUAAACGGAGAUAAUAUGUUUUUGACACUUAAAAUUUUAUAUUUAAUUUAUAUUUCAUUUGAUCACAUUUAUAAAUAAUUUUUAUUUUUUAGAUUUGUUUUUUAUUUGUGGUGGCCGGGCUUUAAACCCCGGACCUUACAUAUAAUAUACAUUGUUCAUAUCAACUGAGUUAAGCUCACGAGUACUUGGAUUUGUUUAACUUUAUACCUUUGUUCCCAAAAAAAAAAAAAAACUUUAUAGAUUUGUGAGUUGUGUUGUUCAAAGCUCUUUCCUUGUCAUUAAUUACAAAAGAUAAAGCUCUUUCCUUUCCAUUAAUUACAAAAGAAAAAUCAUCCUUCCAUUGCUUCUUUUUUUGACAAAAAUCAUUCUUAGAUAAAAGUACAUUUUUAUGUGUGAGGAAUUUAUUGCAUUGUAGUGCUCUAGUUUAUUGAUCGGUCGUUGAACACGCAAAGUGUCUUUGCAAUGGAUGUAACGUGAUUUGAAAGGUGAAUGUUACUUCAGAAAAAUAGGUGAGAUUUUGUUGUUCAUAAUUGUGUUUUUUUUUGUGAGAUUUUACGCAGUAAAACUAAAGUAGGGUGUGUCAAGCAAUGAGCAGGGCUACAGAAAGGUAACAAUUGAAUCAGGUUGAAAUCUAGUAAUGGGCCACUAGUCCAAUGGGUUUGAUCCAAUGUACCAUGAUAAUUGCUCUUUAGACACCCAGGAAAGUCAAACGCUAGUUAGAACAUUUUUUAAAUUAGGUGAACCGAUUUAAAAAAUGUAUUAACCAAUCUCAAAAGUGGUGACUUUCGUUCGGUGAGUGCUUGAGAGCGAUCAUUGAGUGUCUAAAGAGCAAUCCUCUUUUACUGCUGCUCUUGGUAGAGUCCAUUUGUGAAUGUUAUGGUCCAAAUGAUAAAAUUGUGAGAAUUUCUUUUUUCACCCACCAAGCCUCUCACAAGCCCUCCAUGUUUUCAAUUAAGUCAUUGUUAUUAUCAUCUAACUUAUCAUCUUCUUUUUCAAAGAUUAAGGAGGAGUUGGCCAGGGAGUGCUCGAUGGUUAUUUCUAACAUUCAUUUGCAGGUUGAUGUGACUGAUCGAUGGCCUUGGCUGCUCUAUAGAAGUGGAGUGUACUUUGUGUGAGGGGUAUACCAUUAUCUUACUAGCCCACAAAUGCAUCAAGCAUGAGUGAUUUCUAAGUUGAUCUAGCAUAAGGAUGUCGCGUUGAAUGUUUUUCCGUUUUUGCUUGACGCCUCAUUCAAAACAUGUUGUCUACCAAAGAUAAUUUAGGAAGCAUACUUUCUUAGUUGAUGAAGGUUAUAUUUGUGUUUCUGGAUGUGGUGGGGUGGAAUCGGUUCACCGUUUGUUUUUAACUUGUAAUAUUUUUGGUUUGCUAUGGUACUUGUUCGUGAUUGGGUGGGGGUCUCGGCAGUUGAUCCAAAUUCUAUAGUAGAUCAUUUCCAUCAUUAUGCUUAUUUAUCAUGUGGUCCGCAAAAAUAACAAUCUUUUAUGUGCUUAUUGUGGCUUGCUACAGUUUGGGAGAUUUGACAUGAAAGAAAUGAUAGAAUCUUUAAUUAUAAGGCAAAAUUUAUGUCUCACUUGUUGGAUAAGGUCAAGUAUUUAUCAAUGUGGUAGCUGAAGAAAAAUAUUGUAAAUAUUUCUAUUGGGUUAUUUUGGUGGUAGCAACGUCCUUUAGAUUGUUUGGAUACUAGUUAGAUGUUUUUAUUUUGUUUUUUCUUAUUGGUGAAGUGUUGUUUUUGAACUUUGUUACUCUUCCUUGACACAUCUUAUGCUGAGACGAACAUCUUUUAUCGUCUAAUAUAAAUUUCAUUUUGGCUUGUUAAAAAAAAUAAUUAAGGAUCCGAAACACUUAAAUACCCCCCGCAUCAAAUUAUAACGGUCAUUUUUGCCGUUACAAAUAAUUGUCGCUUUAAAUUAUUAAUGCAUCAUUUGUUAUUUCCUCGCUCAUACUUCCUUCGGUCACUAUUAUAAGCAAAACUUCACUUUUUAGAUACAUUGAAUAAUUAAUGUAUUGGUCUUAAAAUGUGAAAUUUUACUUAUAAUAAUGACCGGAUGAAAUAUAUCAUUGUUUAUUGAUUUUCACUUCAUUUAACCAGUCUACUAACUAUAAUUAAUAAAUGUGUUUUAAUAAAUGAUGAUAAUUUUAUCAUUGAUAAACUAAGCAUUUCCUUAAAAAUUAUGCACAAUUCAAAUAUAACAAUUAAAUUGACAGGGAGCGACCACAUUAUUAAAUAGUCAUUGACCACCAAAAUUGACACAAUUUAAAAACAUCCAGUUUUGUUUCUCUAGUUUUUACAUUUUUCUUUUUGAUUUAAAAAAAGCUAAUAAAAUUUAAUUUAAAUAAUAUAUAGUUUUUUUUCUUCAUAAAAUUAAUUAAUAUUUUGUCAAAAAUAUUAAUUUGUAUAAAAUUAACGAAUAAAAUAUUUAUAUUGUGAUUAUAUGUAAUCAAAUUCAUUAAUAUUUCAUAUUAAAUAUCAAAAGCAAGUAUUACCUCACUGGUCUAUUAAUUUAUCAGUCUAUUCAAACAUAUAUCAAAUUGUUUACUUAAAUACAUUCAUAUAAAACAAACUAACAUGUCAUAUCAGACAAUGAAAAUAUCAUACUAUAAAAGAUCGGUUGCAAUUGAAAAAUUCCACAAUUACACACGGUUUUUCAUUUAAGUCAUUGAAUAAAAUUACAACUUUCUUAGGUCUUUGUGACAUAAACCCAUCCAAAGACCAAGAAUAAAACAGUGGGAAAAGUUUUUUUUUUUUUUGAGAGAAAAACAGUGGGAAAAGUUAUUGCACCAAAACUGUGGAAAAAAAAAAGUAUUACUUCUACAAUAUUUUUUAAGAAGAAAAAGUAUAUUUGGUAAAAAAAAAAAAAGGGAAGUAAAAGUAUAUUUAAAUAUUUUAUUUUUACAUAUAUAUGGUAAUAAUUAGGUAUUCCAAUGGGCAUAUUGGGAAAAUCCAAUUUGAAACAUUCACUUAAAAAACAGUAGUGUUGCCGUGUUGGUUUGAAACCUUGGAGUGUGCUCCUCUCUUCAAGGUAUGAAGUUCGAUUCUCCCUAAUGCCAAUUCGUGUGAGCUAGUUUAGCUUCUUUUUUUUGUAAAAUUGAAGAAAAAAUGUAAAGUGAUGGAGGUCAAAGGCGAAGGAUGGUGACCUUUGCCAGGUCGUGUGUAUUUCCAAUAAAUCCUGUGUAGUGGGAUAAUGGAGCUCCGGCAAAGUCGUGGUGGAGCUCUAACAUUGACUGCCGCCACCUCACAACCAACUUUUUUCUUUCAAUUUUUUUGAAGAAAAUAUUAAUUUUAUCACUAAAAUCAAUAAAAUUAAUCAUUCUUUAAGAACCAUAAAAAUAUUUUAAUAUAAAAUACAAUCCAAUUCUUUAAAAUAUCACAUAUUUUUUUUAAGAAAUUAAAAUGGGAUAUAUUAACAACGACAGUGAGAGGUUCUCAGUACAAGGUGUACUAGAGAGUCCACCCCAAAAAACAAACAAUCAAACAAAGUAUUUUCACUUUAAAAUUUCAUAUUAAAUAUAAAAAAGGAGUAUCAUCUCAUUGAUCUAUUUUAACUUGUUAGGUGUGUUUGGUUUAACUUUUACACGAAUUGAUUUUGAAUGAAUUGAUUAUGUAAAACUGAUUUUGGAUAAAAAGAGUUGAAUGUAAAUUGAUUUACGUUUGAAUGUUUUUACAUAAAAGUGGAUUUAACAAUAAAUUUAAGGGUAAAAUUAAUCAUAAAAGCCAAAGCUACAAAUCUUAGCUUCAAGUAGAAUCAAUUCUACAAACAAAAUCAAGUCUACUUUAAAUCAUUCAAACAUCAUAAAAUCAAUUCUACAACCUCUAGAAUCACUUUUGACCAUCUUGAUUUGAAACCAAAUACAUGCUAAUCUAUUCAAACAUAGAUCAAAUUUUUACUAAAAUACAUUCAUAUAAAAUAAUCAAAAUGUCAUAUCAAAUCAUUGAGGAUCCGUUGCAAUUGAAAAAUUCUACGAUCACACACAGUUUUUAGUUUAAGUCAUUGAAUUAAAUUACAACUUUGCGAGGCCUUGUGACAUAAAUUCAUCCAAAGAGACCAAGAAUAAAACUGUGGGAAAAAAAUACUGCACCAAAACUGUGGGAAAAAAAGUAAGUAAAAGUAUAUUUAAACAUUUUUAGAAAGUAAAAGUAUAUUUUGGUCAAAAAAAAAAAAAAGGAAAUAAAAGUAUAUUUAAAAAUAUUUUUUUUACAUAUAUAUAGUACUAAUAAUUAAGUAUUUCAAUGGGCAUAUUGGGAAAUCCAAUUUGAAACGUUCACUUAAAACCUCUCCCACCAUAUCAUUUUCCUUUUCACUACUACACUCACUCUGUUCUCAAACACUCCAACACGACACAACACAAAACCGAACCUAUUCAUUCUUGUCGUUUUCUUGUUCUCUCUUUUUUCAAAUUCACUCGAAGAUGGAAGCUGAAGUGAUGAAAACGACGUCGUAUCAAGCUGAACCGGGUUCAUCUUCAAAGAACAACAAGAAAAUGGAUAGUUUCAGAACCGAGAUUGACACUUCAGCUCCAUUUGAAUCUGUGAAAGAAGCUGUUAACCUCUUCGGUGGUGUUGGUUACUGGAAACCCUUUCACAAUCUUCCAUCUCUCACUUCUCAUUCUAAGGUUCUCUCUCUCUCUCUCUCUCUAUAAUAUAUAUAUAUAUUGUUUGAACGAUUAAUAUUUAAUAGUGAUUUGUUGCAUUUUAUGGACCUAUUUGAAACUAUUUAUGUGAUUAUUAGGUGGCUUUGUUUUUUACUAGUUUGUUUCUUCAUGUUUAGCUAAUGCAUUAGUAUGAUAUAAAAUUUUGUUGGUGUUAUUUUGAGUGCUAGGGUUUGAAUGAUUAAUAGGAACUACAAUUAAGUUAUGUGUGUGUGUGUAUAAACAUAGAGAAAUGAUGUUAGGACUAUCAAAAUUUUGAUACCGAAAUGUGUAAGACGUUGUCAUUAUAGUUCCUCAAUGUAUCAAAUUUGCAAAUACAAAAACAAGUGUCAUUUUGUUUGUAAUUUAGAUGUCAAAUACGGUGUCGUUUGAAUUUUGUGUGUAAUUUUAAUAUGCGUGUAAUUUGUCACGUAUGGUGUGUCUGUAUUUUGAUGUUCGGAUAACAAAGUUGAUUGUUUGUAGAUGAAGAAUGUUGGAAAAUUUGGGAAGUAGGUAAUUAAUAUUGUCCUCAUUUAUAGUUACAUUGUCUGUGAAGGUUACUAGAUACUAUUCUAUAUAUGUUAAAUUAACAUCAAAAUUUUCCAACAUUAGAUUUCUUGUUUUUUUCCUUAUCUACAUCAAAAUUAGAUUUCUUGCCUAGUAUGUAUGUCACAGAUGUAUUUGUUUUCCCAAAAUGAAACAAUGUCAAUUCUGCUCACAAAAAGAUUUUAACUCAAGUUUUUCAACUCGUAUCCUAAAGUAUCAAAGAGGUAUUCCAAACAUAUCAGUCAUUAUUUUGUUUUCAAAAUUUCAGGGAAUGCUUCUUUGAUAUGCAUCUGAAAGUAUUGGUUAAGAUAUGGGUACAACACUAAUACUUCAUUAAUUUUGAGUAUUUGCGCUUCAUAGUACAUUGUUCUUAUAGAGGAUUCACACAAACGAAUAAAAUUAGUUUAUUAUUUUCCAUCACAGAGCUACAUUGUCCUUCUACACCCCCAUUUAAGACCAACUGUCAUGAAAAUCUGGCAUAGCAACUCAUUCUGUGUGUGAUUUAACUUUUACAAAAAUGUUCUCAUUGAGCUAUAUAGUAAAUUCUCAGCCUCUUGUUUGUUUGCAGCACCACAUAGAAGAGCUUGACAGGGAGAAACUAGAGGAGCAGGCAAGAGCGUUGGAGAAAGAACUGAUCCUAAAAGAAAGGGAAACUCUUGAUGUGUUGAAAGAAUUAGAAAAGACCAAAAGGCUUGUUGAAGAUUUGAAAUCAAAGCUGCAGAAGGAAGAAUCUGAAACGAUAUUGAAUCUCGGGAUGAGUGUGUGUGAUCAAAGGUUGAUUGUAGAGGAGAAAGAAGUAAAGGAAAACCAAUCGAGUCCGUCUGAGGUUCUUCAACCCAUGAAGGAAUGUUCUAUGCCUUCCCGUGUAUCUUCUCCAGACUUGAUACUAAUGGAAUUGAAGCAGGCCAAGUUGAACCUAACCAAAACUACUCAUGAUAUUGCCGAUGUACGAGCUACUGUUGAAUCUCUUAAUAAGAAAUUAGAGAAAGAAAGGAUCUCACUAGAGAAAACCCGUGAGAGGUUUACUCAAAAUUGUUCGAAAAUGUCUUGUCUUGAAGAAGAGCUAAACCAAACCAGAUUAAGACUACAAGUGGCAAAAGGUGCUGCUUCUGGAGAUCCUUUAGAUGUUACAACAGAACUCCAUCGAUUGAGUUCAGAGGCCGAGCGUUUCAGAAAAAAGAGAGAAUCUGCAAAAUCAGAAGUUUUAAAAGCACUGUCUGAGAUUGAGCUGACAGAAGCUAUGAUAAAAACUGCCGAAAUCAGGUUAGUUGCGGCAAGGAAAAUGAAGCAAGCUUCUAGAGCUGCAGAAGCUGCUACCCUUGCAGAAAUUAACGCAUUGUCUAGCCAUGAGGGUACACCAGAAGAGUGUAUGCAGAAGCACGAGGAAAUCACUCUUUCAGUUGAAGAGUAUACUACUCUGACUCGUAAAGCUCGAGAGGCCGAGGAACAAUCAAAGAAGAGAGUAGCAGAUGCUAUGCUUGAAGUUGAUGAAGCAAAUUCUUCGCAGAUGGAUGUUUUUAAAAGGGUAGAGGAAGCAACAGAAGAAGUUCAAACUUGCAAGAAGGCCCUUGAAGAAGCUCUACAAAGGGUAGAGGCUGCAGAUAGAGGGAAGUUGGAAGUUGAAGAGGCUUUAAGGAAAUGGCGAUCUGACGGUCAAAAAAGGCGUUCUUCGACGAAUAGCUGUAUGAAGUUUAAAAACUCUGGUCCAUCUGAUCAAAGGAGAGAUAUUAGGCUACUUGAUGUAAAUGGAUUGAAUUUGGUAAACGAUGAAGCGAAGCCUGUUUUAAGGCCAACUCUAUCAAUAGGACAAAUACUGAGCAGGAAGCUGCUUAUACCAGAAGAGUUUGAAGAACCGAUGGUGCAUGGAGAAAUAGUCUCGGUGAAACAGAAGGUGUCAUUAGGUCAUAUGCUUGGAAAACAUGAUGACAGUCCAUUGUUUGAUGAGCAAACUGAGAAAGAAAAUGGUCAAAAGAAGCAGUUUUCUGCUAAGAGAAAGAAAUUUGGGUUCGCAAGAUUCUCACAUCUUUUGUCAAAACAGCAUAAAAAGAAGAAGAAACCAAUGCUGAACUUGAGGUGAAUAGAUUAUUUGAUCAAUUUUCUCUUCCAUCUAGUCAUGUCAAGAGCUAGACUCAAAAAUAGCAUCUCCUAUUAGGCCUCAUCACAUUCCCUAUGUGCUGUUUUUUAUUUCACUCUUUUUAGAGAAACUGGAAUGCAUGGCUUUUAUAUUUUGAUGUACUAAAUAUAGCAUAUAAUUUAUAUGCUCAGUUAUGUCACUCUGCAUUUUGCUAUACAUUUUUUAUGGUAUUUAGGUUGCAGUCCCUGCUUUUAUAUUAACUUAGUUAUGCUUGUGCAAUUUCUUAACCUUAUUGUAAGUAGUGUUAUAAUGUUCAUUCUCUUAUGUUUUCAAGGUGUGUUUGAAGAGCUUAUUUAUAAUUUGAGUUUUAUCUCAUAAAGUAAACACUUAUAAGUUUCCUUAAAAUCUUAUGAGUUUUAAGGAAAGUGUUGUUCUAUGUAGAAAACUGAGAGCUUCUGUGUGGAUUUGUUUCCUUAAAAUCUUAUGAAUUUGAUCUUAAUUUUACAUUAGAUGAAACACCAAUAAUGUAGGCAAUAGCAUUCAUGUAUCAGAGAGGAAUACUUCCUGCAAUACAAGCAAUCCAUAAUGUUGAUUGGAGAAUAAGAAGAAUCAAUUCACAUCCCUUCGAAAUGCACAUUCUACAUCUCAUGGAAAUCGUGUUUUGAGUGUAAGAAUAAUUGCAUGAAAUAAUGCAUUGAGUAUGAAUUAAAUUAAACUAAUAAGUAUGAGAAAAGGGAACAACCAUCCACAACAAACUAGUUUUACAUCGACGUCCAAUAAAAAUUCAACAUUUUACGGUUAUUCUCAAAUUGUCGUGACAAUGUGAGCUUACAUGACAAUGUCGUGAGUUUUUAUGUGUUGGUGUAAAACUAUUUACAUCGACAAUGCUUCUCAACAAAUAUAGUAAAUUGUACAAGAAAUAAAAACUUGAUACACUUCCGUCUCAUUGUUUUGUUGAGUCAUAGUUUCGAUCAACCAUUUCUAAAUUCAAAAAAUAUGGUCCUUCAAUAUUAAUAUUUAAAUUCUCUGAAAUUUUAUCAUUGAAUGUAAAGCUUAUUUUACGACAAAAUCCAUUAGUACAUGAAGUGACAAUGCAUGUGUAUAUCAAUUUACACUUUUUAUUUAGAUUAGUAAUUUGGAUGUAAACAAGAUGGUAUGAGCCUUAUUAGGUAUUGUUGGUUUAUACUAUACAAAUGAUUUUCUUCCAAACUGCACGAAUUAAGGAAAUAACAUAUCAAAUUGGACGGACCAUAGACAAAAAUGCUUCAAAUAAGCUCCAAAAUGCACCAACGAAGCUUCCUACUCCCGUAUUCAUAAUAUUUUUGUACAUUACAUCAAGAAAAUCUUAGCAUUCUAAUUUCUAAAAAUAUCAUUCCAUUAACGUUAUCAUAUAAACCAAGAUCUCCCAUAAAAAAAUUAAAUGAAGAAAAAUGGUAGUUUGAUAAAUAUAGUUACUAACAUUACAGUACAUUAACAUCAAGAAAAUAUAAUGGAGUUAAUUAACAUUCUUCUUCUUCUCAAAUGGAGUACAUAUUUAGAAUUACCGAAAAUAUAAAAGUGGAAAUUCUAGUAGUGGUGUACCAAAAAGAAAAAUAAAUUCUAGUAGUGCUAUGCUACAUAAUAAAGAAACUUUUCCAAAAGUUAAACUUAUGAUUAGGAAAAAUGUGCCUUCCUUAAUCCCUAUGGCCACCCCUUUGUUGCUUAAGAAUAAAGACUACUGUAGUAAUGAGUUGUCUAUUCACUUUCCUCUUUUAAAUUUUCUUUCAAAUAUACUUUUAUCAAUAUGACAAUAGAUUCAAGAGUGAGGUACACAAUACCCUUCCACAUUGAAUAAAUUCUCAAUCUCUGAAAAUGGAAAAAAGCAUUGAAUGGUAAGUGAAGUUAACAAACCAACCAUCUUCCACUAUCCCAACCUACACGCCACUCCAAGUCCUAUAGGAAGGGAGGAAUAAUAUUUCAUUUCUCAUUCUUUAUAAUCUCAAAAAAUAAAGGUAAUCCUUCUUCUUCCUCUCUUUGCCAUGCAACUUUGAAAUUUCAUAAGGUAGUUUUGAAGUUUGAAAAACAAAAGAAAAAUGUUAUGGUCAAAUAUCUUUUGCUACAUUGUUAUGGUUCUAUGUUUUAGCUUGAACUUGAACCUUUGAUGCUGUGAUAUAUUAUUUAAUUUAAUUUAAUUAUCAGGAAUUACAUGCAAGGAUGUUGUUGAUAGACUGAGUUUUUCCACAGAAACAUGGUGCAUUUUUUUUGUUAUUUUAUAAAAAAUAAAUAUUAUUUGAUUGAUAAUAAGCUAUUUUUUCCCAAAAUAAUAAUAAUAUAUAGUUUUAUAUGCUAUUUAUUUCUUAUUUAUUUUUUUAGUUCAUCUCAGGAAAAUUUGGCAUCUGUCUAAAAGUUUUCCUUUAUAAUUGCCCUGAGUUUUUUUUCACUAAUGUCUGUUUUUUUCCUAGUAGAAAGUUGACAUUUUCAUCUUUAAUUUUUUUAUAUAGGAACCAUGGAAGGGAGAAUUGGACUUUUGUUUAUUGUGGUACUAGGUUUUGCUCUGGCUUGUGAUGCAAGAGGACUUGCAAACCCUUGGAGCAUCAUUGCUGCAAACUCAGCCUCUUCUGGUAACAUUGUUUACUGUUACUGAUAUCAUUCUUGUUUGCAGUAUUCUGAAUCUUCUAUUUAUUAAUGAAUAUUGGUGAAGGAGCAAAAGUUUAAGUAAAUGCAUUCUGUAAUGUUCGAGCGCUUGCCCACUUAUCAGUGAAUAUGAGUCGCAUUCAACGAAUAAGUAAGCUAAGGUUUGAUUAAAAUUAAGGCAUAACAGUUUCUAAAAUGAGAUAAAUGCCAAAAGAAUCGGAUGGAAUAUGGAAUACUAAUUAAUAAGUCUUGGGGACAUGUUAUCUGCUGGUCCCAUAAGAUUCCUGCUAUGGUGAGGUCCAUGGAAGAUUCAGAUCCAUUUUGAAUAUAUUAUAGGUAGUCUUACCUUGCAUUUGCAAAAGGCUGAUUUUACGACUCAAACCUUAGACCUUUCUAGUCACACGAUAGGCCCCUACUUCAAAUUCUCUCAGUAACAAUAAUGAGAAUAAAAUUAAGUAUAAAUGUAUAAUUGCUGAUUUUGUCGGUCAAUCAUACGGCUAAGACAGUGACUUGAUCAGUGUUGAUUUAACAAAAACAAGAGAAAACAAACAUAAGAUGAGUUUUGAGGCAUUGCUAUGUAUUUUUUUUUUUGUCGAACCAUAUUCGUGAGACGAGUAAGACUAUGAGGGUAUGAACUUCUACAUAUAAGUAGCAACAAUUGUGUCACUGUCUCAUUCUUGAGGAUGAGUAAUAUUAUGAGCUUCUGCGUAUGAGGAGCAGCAUCAAUUGUUAUUAUAUUUUCAAACCAUUUUCAAACAUAGGUUCCCCGUAAACCAUACAAGACACUUCCCCACCUUAGACAUCACUUUAAAUCAAAGAUAAGUGUGGGAAGUUUCUGAUUUCUCUUUGUAGUUUAGAGUCAUUAAAACAUGAUUUUGUAGGAUACAUUAAUAAGUGAUAUAUGUUACCAAACGUACAAAAUUAAUUGACAUUGCUGUGGGUGUGCUAUAAGUUAUAGGCAUGUCCUCACAUUAGCUAUCUAUGACAGGCCAAACAGGGGUCUUAAAGUCUUCAAUUACUGAACUGAUAAUAUGACCUGUAAAUCCACCACCUCCAUACCUAAAACUGCUCGAUGCAUUCUUUAAGGACUUACAGGAAGUAAGAUAUGGAUAUUUCUUGUACUCUGUCUAUGAUUUGAUAGACAUGAUGAUAUAGGAAAUUUAUGGGAUGAUUUUAAGUGACAGCAGAUGGCCGUCGACAAACAAACCUGUGCAGUUUGGCCACCCUACACUGCAAGGACAGGGCGAUGAUAUGCAAAUAUAUCAUGAAUACAAGGGAAUAGACAGUAUUUCCCCCUUAGUUUAUUAUAUUGUUUAUAUUGAAUGAUUUCGUAUGAAUAGUUGUUACAUAUUUAUCUGAGAAACCUGGUCUUGAUAUUAUAAUCUGAACUCAUGACCUGUCCACCAUGUUAUGACAGAAAACUGUUUCCUAGAGUUCCAGCUUGUGGCUUAUAUGGUUCUUGUUGUUAAGUUGGUUAUGAAUAUAAGAACGCGUAUGAGUAUGGAUGAGACUAUCAUAGUUGACUACUGUUAGUCCCAAGUACUAUCAAGUUAAACUUAUUUAGGCUUGAUCACACACACACACACAAAUAUAGACGCUCAUUCCUUAGACAUUUACUGCAAAGUAAAGAUCUGCAUACCAAUUAUUAAGAAAUCUACUUUUGCAGUUCAUACAUAUGCAUAACAACGUUUGUGAAGCCUUGUGUAUUUAGUGUGAUUUAUUGAUUAUGAUAUACUAAGUAUAAAAGGUACAUUAAUGCUUAGUAUAUACUGAGGGCAAACUCCUAUAUCAUUCAUGUAAAUUGGAUGCUAUGAAUUUAUAUAUGGAAGAUGCUUAUUUGUACAUUUGUUGAAAAAAUAAAGGAUAAUUUAAUAGUAAAUAUUGUAAAAGGAGAGAGUGAGACAGGAGUGCUAGUUGAUGAUGAUAACAACAUGAUGGGGAGAAAUGGAGAAACACAUGAGAGAUUCAUUAUGUCACAUGAAGUUUAGAUAAUGGUUCGUGCUUUUAGAGGUGCAGUUUGUUUUCAGUAUUUUGGUCUGUUCAGUCAAGAAAAGAGCAAGCGGCAGCGUCAGAGACCAAUUUUGAAAACAAAGAAUAACCAAACCUAGGAGGAAAAUUCAGUAGGGACUAAUUAACUAAAGAGCUACAAUUUCAUCAAUAGAUUUUUCCUAUAAAAUUUUCCGGUCAAAUUCUGUAGUAUAGGUGAUAGAUGCAUAAAAAGUACUCUCUUGUUAACUUUCACUGUGUUUGGUAAAUAGUUUAAUUAAGUGCUUUGUACUCAUAAGCUACUUUUGGGACCUUUAUUAUAAAAAUAUAAAUCGAAAAUAACUUAUUGACAUAUAAUAAGUUAUUUUUUUUAUAAGUGUAUCCUAACACUAAUAUAGCUUUUAUGUCAUGAGAUAUACCAAACAAGCUAUUAUAAAUGCUUCAUUAGUACUAAACAAGCCAAUUUGUCAAUAAAAUAAAACCGAUAUGAAAAUCUUUGUUUUGUUAUGUCAUGAGACCAUCACAUGAAAAUCUUUGAUACUUGCAAGAAUAUUUCUAUGUUAAAUACAUUUUGAAAUGCAAAUGCGGCAUGCAUAAUUUAUUUUGUUUACCUUUCUUCAUACUGCAGAACUAGGCAGAAUACCAGAUGUGUGUGCACUUUGUGAGGAAUAUACUACCAAGGCACUUGAUUAUAUAAAUGAAAACAAGACUCAGAGUGAGAUCAUUGAUAUUCUUCAUAAUACUUGUCACCAGCUUCACACUUUUGAGAAGAAGGUUGGUCACCUUUUGUAUCUUGUGUUUUGGUUUCGGUACUGUUAUCAGUCAUUGUGAUAACCUAUGUAGCACCAACACUUCAAAUUGAAAUCGUGCCCAAUAUCUGACAUGUGUCAGCGUCAGACACUGACACAUGUGAUUGCAUUCAGUUACUUCAUUUUCUCAAAUUAUUAAUGGUAUCAGUGUAUUCGUAUCAGUGCCGUGUCUAUCGCUGGUGUUUGUGUCAGUUACUUCAUUUUCUCAAAUUAUUGAAUCUUGAUGAAUUCAUGUGUUUUUCUGAAUUGUACAGUGCAUCAACUUGGUGGACUAUUAUCUGCCACUUUUCUUCUCAGAAAUGACCUCAGUUCAGCCUGGAGAUUUCUGCAAUAAGGUCAAUCUCUGCCAGAACAUUGCUAAUAUUUCCUUAAAAGUUCAAGAAAAUACCUGCGAGUUUUGCGAAGAAACUGUUUCAUCUCUAUUGGAUAAGAUAAAAGAUCCUGACACAGAGGUUAGUUAUCUCAUCUUGGUCCUAUAUAGUUUAAAUUAGACUACCUUUUAUCUAGUAAAGUCUAUGUUUUGCUGCCAAAUGAAAAGAAAAUUUGAUAAUAAUUAAUAUAUCAUAUCAAAGUAUAUGUACUAUAUUUUAGUAGGAGCGAAAAUAUGUAUCAAGUGGAAAAAGAAAGAUAUAUGGGUGCGUUUGAUUUGCUAAAAAAUGAAGGACAGGACAGAACAACUCUAGUUGUCCAGUGUUUGAUUUGUAAAACUGUUUCAGGUACAUGACAAACUGGAGGCAAGGGACAGGACAAAAUCUCAUAUUUUUGUCCCUCACCAAACCACAGCACAACUUUUUGUCCCACGUACAAGUUGUCUAAAAUACCAAAAUAGCAUUUUGUCCCUAAAAAAUCGUAUAAAACAAAAAAUUACUCAAUGCCAUAAAAAAUUUGUCCUGUGCUGUUCUGCCUUGUGUUGUACUGUUCUAUCUUGUCCUGUUCUGUCCAGUACUUUCUGUUUUGCAAACCAAACACACCAUUGAUUUUGGCCAUUUUUGUUGACCCAUUUAUUCGCUUGAUCGGAAUUACAUUUUGUGGAAUGCAAUGCUUACCUUUUUUUUCAUUUUAAAAUUUCAGCUGGAGAUAAUUGAGAUACUACUGAAAGUGUGCAAUUCAGUGGACAAGUUUGGGAGCAAGGUAAGAAAAAUCUGAGAAUUUUCCACAAUUUUCUGAUAAUUCUAUACUAAUCGCACCUCCUAGAGAAACAAAUUCUACUCCUACAAUUAUCUUCAUAUACUAUAAGGAGUGAUUUCAGACCUUGAAAAAUGGUUGUCAAUUGUAUCGACUCGUAUGAAAUUUUGUAAAUGUAAUUUUCCUAAUCAACCUUUUUUCUCAUCGACUGAUUUGGUUUUUUUCGUUACUCUCCCGAAAUGUUUGCAGUGCAAGAAGAUUGUUCUAGAGUAUGGUCCCUUGGUAUUUGAAAAUGCAGAGAAAUUCCUGGAGAAGACAGAUAUAUGCACUGCAUUACAUGCUUGCAAGGAAUCAACAGUAGUACUUGAAAAGUCCUUUCUUUCGGACCUCUUAAGUAUCUUUUAUGGAAACAAUAUUUUUAUCAGAAUGGUGCAAUUGCUGAAGAUUGCUCUAUUUUGAGACACCACUAAUGUAAAGUAUUUUAUACUAUUGGCACAUCAUAAAAAAUGUUAGUUUCUAAGAAGUGCUUGUGAGAUAGUCAACCUUGUUUAAUCCAUUAUUGAAGGCAACCUAAGUUAAAUUUUCAAAGAUGUUAUCCAUAUAUAUAUGCUUAUGAUGUUCAUUUUGAAAGCACAUGAUAUUGAUACUUGUUUCAGAAUGAAUUUCCAAUUACUGCUGUAAAAGUUUAAAUAUUUUUGCUCAGUCUUUUGUGUAAUUUGAAUGCUUUGCUCUUGUUGUGUCCUGCAGCUUGUAUGAUAGUGUUGUGUUGCAAUUCUUUUAGUCCCAAACUAAAAGAAGUAACUUCUAAAAGUGAUUCAAACUAAAUUACUCUUGCAUCAAUAGCCAAUAACCACUUGUGUUUGAAAAGAAUAAGGCAGAAUAUUCUUAACUUUUAAGCAAAGAGAGAAAUGAGAAGUGCUCACUGAAAUCAAUCUUGCUCCAAUCCACACCAGUUUUAAACAUCGAAAAUGUCAAAUCGGUUGCUAACAUUAGCGACGUUUCCCUAAUCAGUUUGGUCACAAACUUGUUUAAUGACUGUUUUAGAGACCGAUUAUAAAAUUUGGUCGCCAAAUCAGGUUGCUAUGGAGAGUGAGAUGAGUCUGUCACUGAAUUGAUUGCUAAAUAGUGAAAUUUUAGUGAUAUAUAGUCAUAAAAAAAGAGUAGCCAUGCUUUCUCUUCAAAAAACUAAGCCAUGCUUUCUCAAAAUAUUAAUUUAGUUGUAAGAGACUGCAUGGUCACUUUAAUUAUGUCUUACUUUCUAGUAUCUUGACAACUUUCUCCAAUUUUUAAGAUUUUCUGCCAUUUCCUUUCAAAUUUGUCAUGCUUCCAUCCGUAUGUCUUGUUUAUUAAUAAUUAAUUAUUAGUAUUAAUUGAUACGUACAACUUGAUUAAGACACAUUCAUGGUUAUUAUUUUAAAGAGUCCUUUUUUUUAGGGUGUUUUUUAAAGAGUUCUUAUUUCCUUCAAAUAAAAUACAAUUGAGUUAUUUGAACUUGAGAAUAUAAAUGUCAUAUGUGACAUUGCAUAUUCGAAUUGUUGUAUAUUGGGCUCCCUACCUUUGUGGUUGUGUUAUUUGAACUUGAAAAUAUAAACAUCAGAAGUGGAGAAAUGUCAUAUUGGGGUCGAGAAGAGAGUGUUUUUGGUGAGAAGAGUAGCCAUCAGAAGAGAGAUUACAACAAUUUUCAGGAUCUUCCUUUUCACCGUUCGGAUCAUCAAAAAGAGUUCUUAGCAUAGAGAUAUUUUCCUCUCACUAAAGCAGUAUUCUUAGGAUAUUUUUCAUAUUUCUUGUUCUCAUUUGUCAACUUUGUUGCUUUGGCUAGUUAUUGGCCCUGGUUGUGCAUCACCUUUUGAGACUCCCUUGUACCCACAUUUAAUUCUAGAGGAGCUAUUCCAUUUGUCUGGAUGACUUGUUGUUUUUAUUAGAGCUAUUCGUUUAGCCGAUUAAUUAUAGGGCUUGAGCCUUAAAUAUUGAGUCCGAAUUUUUAUAGGAUUUUUUAGCCCGACCCUAAAAAACCUGGUACCCGUUAGGGCUAUCCCAUUAACCCACAUAGAGAAAAAAAAUCAUAUAUAUUAUAUAUAUUUUUUAAAUAAUUAUUUAUUUUUUUUGGAGCAAAAAUAAUUAUUUACUUAGUUGAUUAUCAAAGUAAAAAAUAAAAGUGAAAAUUCAUUGAAUUUACACGCAAAUAUAAAAGUAAUAUAAAAUUAUAUUUACUUGUUUCGUUAUUUAUAAUUUUAAAGAUCAAAUAUAUAAAUAUUUAUAACUAUAAAGUACGUAAUUUAUUUAAAAUUGUAUUCCUCGCCAUUUUAGUUUACGAUGUUUGUACGAAAAUGUUUACAAUUUUUUUUUUUAUGUCAGACGUUAUUUAAACAUAUUAAAAAUAUUAUUUAUAACAAAUUUUAAAGAUUUUUUUUUCAAAAGUAAUUUUUAACACGUGUCGGCCUGUGAGAGCAGGCUAGAGUAAUACUUUUCAAACCCGUAUUUCAACUGAGCUUUUGGGUUGUCCCAAUAAAACCCAAAGUCCGUUAGGGCCGAUCCUAAAAAGAUCAGAUAGUCCAUUUUAACAGCUCUAAUUUUUACCUUUACAUUAAGUGGUUUUCCACGUUAAAAUAUAAGUGUUUAUUUGUAUCUUAUUUGUUUUCAUUGUUGUUGCUCCUUGUAGAUUCUUUCUUACAAGUUUAAGAAAUUUUUAUUUCCGCUACACAUAGAUGUGUAACCAUAUAUUUAUGUGUUAAUUUUCCAUCACAAAAAAUACACAAAAAUCAAAAGACACAUCGUCGACAUCAAAAUAUUUAGGUCGACAAAUCAUUCUCAACAAAUGUGUGGUACCACAAACUUGGGAAUCAACUGCCAUGAAAUAGAUUUUAAGAUGUAGCACCAAUACAAUAUUUCCAAGUGUCAAACAAUUAACUGGAAACAAACGAGCUAGAUAGUGAUAUCACACUACUUUGUUUUCCUCCUUUAAUUUUCCUUCCUACAAUACCCACUAGUUUUUUCUUGACCUAUAAAUGGAUAAUGGAUUGGACAACAACAUUACGUGUAUAAAUCCCCCUUCCUUAAUUUCCAGGGACCACCUACAUACAUAUGCAAUGAUAUUUUCAUACAUUAUAGUUGUGUAAAUUGUGCUAGAAUUAAGUUUAGGUUAAGAACAAAGAAAAAUAUCCAGUUAGGCAUAACCUAUGUAUGGAGUUUGUGACAUGUACAUAUCACGAGGCAACAUCAUUAUUUUCAAGAAUAUGGUAGAGGCCUAGAGGGGACAUUUUUUCUUUCAUGUUUCAUGAUGUUUCAUGCCUCCAUCUUUAAGACUUUUUUAAAAAAUAAAUAAAUAAAUAAAAUUCUUUCUCUCUUCUUUGCAAUAAAUGGUGGAGGUUUGAUCGGAUUCUUGUUUCAUAUAAGAGGAUCUAUUCCCUUCGAGACCAUACCCAUUAAUGUGACAUGCAUAUCAAAGAGACAAUUUGAUUUGAAAUGUUCACCGUAUAUAUAUUACUCUCUCAUUCUAAUAUGAGGCAAUUGUCUAAUUUUAACAUGUGAUUAUCUCAUCAUCAAAUGACUUGUCAAUUUGAUUAUUAUUCACAUCUAAGUCUCCCUUCCAUUCAUAUCUAGAAAAGGAAAUAAUUCAAACUCCUCUAUAUUGCUCCUUUUAACAAAUAAAAAUCUCAAGGGAAGUUUGUAAUGAUGAACGUGCUUUUAUAAGAAAAGGUCAUUUAGUUUGACUUUAGUUUACUUUGAUGUACGCGGACCAUCACGAAUUCCUUAUAAAAGGUGGAUCAAAAUAUUAUGUCUCAUACUCAUUUAUCAAUUAAUCAAGUGAUUGGAUUCAAGUGGUUAGUUAAUAAGUUCUUUUAAAAGACAUCUCACUUGAAAGAAUUUGAGUUCGAUUCUAAAAUAAAUUUUUGCCAGAAUUUACUUACCUCGUGGACAAACUCUUAAUCACUAAGACAUUCUUCCUUUAAAAAUCAAAGGCUUAAAAUAAAAAAUAUUACCUUCAUAUAAAAAAACACUGAGCUAAGGGACGAGGACUUGUAGAUAUUGGAUUCAAACUCCAACAAAUGAGAAACUAAUGUAUCAAUUAAUUACUAACAUUUUUUGCCAUCACAAGCCACUAGCUUAAUUUCCAUAAACGAAUGCAACCAUUAACAAUGAAACCCAACUUUUGAAAUUAAUUAUAAAUAUAGUAAAAAAUAAUAAUUUGUAAACACGAGCAGCAUCAAUACUUUAAUUCAAAACAUAAAAUUCAAAGUGAUAAGUGAUCAAACCCUAUCCUGAUACAUGACGCGUACGUUAGCAACUAUGCACUUUUUUAAUUCAUAUUCUUCUUUUCUAACAAAAAAAAGUACAUUCAACCAAAUUUUCUAGUUUUUUAUUUUUUUAAUUUGUCAGUAAUUUAUUUAUGGAAACAGCCAAUGUUUACUCGUAUUGUUAAUUUGUUAGUAUUAGGAGUGGUUUAAUUGUUUUUUUAAUCCAAAAGUUUGACUGUAGAGACCAAAGAAAUGAGAAGAAGAAACAAAAUUGGUGUUGCCGGAAGAAAUGAAAUUUGAAAAGCUUAGCAAAGUGUUUAUUUGCAACGUUAAUGAGGAUAACAAUAUAAAUACAAAAAAUUAGGAAUCAUUGAAUAAUCCCAAUAAAAUCAUAUUUAUUAACCAACCCAUAUUUCAAUUGGCACGGUAAUACUUUGAAGAUGAUCAACAUUCUUAAAAUAGUUUGGUGUUUAUUAUUUUAUUAAAAAUGGUAGGUUUAAUAGAUAGAGUUGAGUUGAGUUUGCUCGUGGUCUUGAUUUUAAGCAAAAGUAAAGGUUUCUAAAACUUUGUAUUUACAUUGAUGUACUUAUCCUUUUUUUUCCUGGUUUCCACAAAUUCCCUUUGUUAGAGGUAAAGUAUUGUUUGUGAUAUCAUAUAAUAACGCUAAAUAUAGAUGUCUCUUUCCUCUUACAUAUGAAUAUUGAUUGAUUCAUUGCCUAAAAAAAGAAUAUCGAUUCGUUGCCUAAAAAAAAAAAGAAUAUUGAUUGAACAUGUCGUGCUAAUCUCCUUUUUUUGGGUAAGAAUGGGUGCUUAUCCUUAGGUUGCUCAUCUUCUUGAUUUGAACAUUUACUCUAUUUGAUUUGAUAGGUAUAUUUUUGUAAAAUGGAUUAGAAUGCCUCGUAAUAUUUUAAGUAAUGUAUACAUAUUUUUACAAAAUUAUCUUAAAUAAUUAUAUUUAAUUGUAAAAUGGAUUAGAAUGCCUCGUAAUAUUUUAAGCAAUAGAGUCUUAAAGGCUUGUUAUGGUGAGGUUGGGGGGCGGCUGCAGGAGGGUCGUGGUAGACAUGGUUCAUCGUGGUGGAGGACGUUGUGUCGUAUUUGGAGUGGGGUUGGUGAGGGAGUGGGUAAUUGGUUUGAAGAAAACAAUCGUCGAGUUGUAGGCAACGGUCACAAUGCUUUAUUCUAGUUCGAUAACUGGCUUGGGGAAAUGCCUUUGCGCUUAAAAUUUCCUCGGCUCUUUGAUCUGGCUGUGAAUAAGGAGUGUUUGGGGGAGGAGAUGACGAGACUAGGGUGGGCGGUCGGGGGGAGGGCAUGGGUGUGGAGACGUCGCUUGUUGUCUUGGGAGGAGGAUAGUGUGAGGGAGUGCACUUUACUGUUACAUAACGUUGUUUUGCAGGUUAAUGUCGAUACUUGGCGAUGAAUUUUAGAUCCUGCCCACGGAUAUUCAGUUCGGGAAGCCUACCCCUCCCUUACAUCUUUUGGUGAGCAGGUGGAUAAGAGCCUUGCUGAUGAUGUUUGGCAUAGGUACAUAGCUGCAAAAGUGUCUAUGUUUGUGUGGCGUCUUCUUCGCAACAGACUUCCAACCAAGGACAAUUUGUUGAGGCGAAGGAUUAUUCUUGUUAAUGAUGUUGCUUUUGCUUUUGGGUGUGGUGAAUCGGAAUCAGCAACUCACCUCUAUUUGGAGUGCGAAAUUACCAACAGUGUGUGGCAUGUGCGAAAAUGGCUAUGCUCAUCUACGGUGUACCUUUGUCAGUUGAGAGAUCAUUUCACACAGUUCUCUUUUAUGGCCGGAAUGCCGCGAAGUUCUCACUAUGUUUUUAAAGUUAUUUGGUUUGCUUGUAUCUGGUUGAUAUGCGGGAUCAAAUCCUUCCGUCCUCAUUGAGAAAAUCAAACUGAAUUCCUUUUUAUGGCUGAAAGCUAAAUGGCCGUCCUUUAAUUUUUACUAUCAUGAUUGGUGGCAACAUCAGCUUCCUUGUAUGAGUGUUCGCUUCUAAUUUAUUUUAUCUAUUUUGGUGGUGCCUCUCUUUUCAUGGCACCUGACUGCUGUAACUCUUUGAGCGGUGUUUCUCCUUACCACAUAUUGUGCAGGAAUUUGCACCAUUGUUGUUAAUAAAUAUAUCAUUUUGGUUUGUUCAAAAAAAUAUUUUAAGCAAUGAAUAUAUUAGUGUAUAGAACAGAUCGUGCAUAAUACAAUGAUAUUUACAAAAUUAUCUUAAAAAAUGAUUUUUAUAGUUCAAUCUAAUAUAUUUCAUUUUUUGAAAUAAUUUUUUACUUAUCUUUCAUUAGUUAAUACCGAAAAAUCUUUGUUGAUAUUUUUAAUUUGAAAUUGUAAAAAUAGAUCAAAAUUUUAUCUCAGAAACUUAUUAUAAAAACUCUAAUUGAUCUGUCCAACCUAUAUGGAUAAAGACUAUCCAAAGCCAUGUAUUAGUGUUUAUAGAGAUAUUUUCAUGAAGUUAAUCUUUUGUCUAUUCAUUCGUUUAUAUAGCAUGUGAUUAACUUCCAUUUAUAUAAUUUAUAAAAAAAAAACUUUUUAGAGGCAUAAUUUAUUAAGAUGAAUGAUCCUAAUGAUAUCAUGAUGUGAAAUAUACGAUUAUUCUUCACGGAACGUGCCAAAUUUCGGUAAUGUUGUUGUGAUAAGAUUGAUGAUAUUCUCUUUUAAGAAACACAAUGUUUUUGGGUACAAAAAGAAACUAAACAAAUGUCCUUGAUGUGAAGGGAUAAGCUCUGAUAAUAGUGUUUCUGAUUUGCAUUGUUGUCGUUAUUCUUAUUCUUAAUAAACUUCAUUUCAGACUCGGAUUAGUUUAUUUAUUUAUUUUUAAUUAUCUAAAAGAUAAUAAGUAUUCAAUGCUAUAUUUAGUAGGACCUUGAUUUGAUGCUGUCUGUAGGUACAAGUAUUCACGCAAUCAUACGGCACAAGUUGUUCGAUCUAAAAUUCAGCUUGGCAUAUUUUAAUAGUAGAGUAAAAAUUAAAAUUAUGAUUUAGAUUGGAUCGUUACCGAUGUUUUGACUGCAUGAUAACAUUGAUAGUAGAGAAUCUUACUUCAUUUAGUAGUGACUAUUAUUCACUAUGAUUUAUCGAACACUCGUAAUAUGAAUGUCCUCUCAAAUGAGUUUUCUUUAAACGCAAAAAAAAAAAAAAAAAAAAUAGAACCCUUACUUUAUUUUGAACUUCUUACCAUUCAGAUGAACCUUAUUUUUAAUCCUAUCUUACACGGGAUGGGUAUUUACUGAAUAUUAAUAUUUUUAAUGGGUAGAAAAUCACUUCAUAUAUUAAUAUUUUAUUGGGUAAUUACAAAUAGAAAACGGCAUAUUUCCACUUUUUCUAUUAUCUAUUUUAUAUAUAUUUAUAUUAUUCCUUUUUUAUAAUACAAAGAGACAUAAGAAAAGUACAAAUCAAACUUAGUUUGAGAUAUAGUCUAGAUAUGAUAUGAUUAAUUUAAAAAGUUAUAUCUAUGGAAUUGAGUUAAGCAUAAAAUGAAACAAAAUUACAAAACAUCUCACUAGUAAUGAACAAUGUUUUAUUCGCCACAUUUAAAAGAUGAUCACAACAACAUGACUUGUUAUCCAUUUUGUCGGGUUUUUAUGUUUGUCUUUUACAUACCAUCUACUAGGGGUGGAUAACAAGUUGGGUUGGAGAGAGAAUCAGACGACCCAAUCUGCGAGUGGAGUUAUGAGACCCAAACUCGGCCAUUUUUAGGCUUCGGAUUAGACGGGUCGCAUGUUACUGUUUAGGCUAGUCAUCGGUCCGAUUUUGCGGGUUAGCCCAUUUUAAGAAUAAGAAAGUUUUGAGGACCAAAUCGAAAACAAAUAGGAAGAAAAAAAAACCAGUAACGUUUUUUCACACCUUCCUUUAGAAACAAAGAACAACAAAUCCAAAUCUUACAUGUUCAUAUCUCAUGUCCAAAUCUCAUAUUUCAGAAUGAUAAAAUAAAAACGCAAGCAUGCUUGAAGCAAUGGAACUUGAAAAAAAAUGGGUUUGUAGUGUGCAUAAAGAAAGAAGACCAACGAAAAACAUCACUGAAACUUGGAAAUAAUUUUUAGUAUUACUAUUUUCUAUAAGUAACCAUAAUUAGAACUCAUAAAUCAUGAUAUCAUUUUCAAAUUAUUUUAAUGUUUGAAUGUUGCAUACAAUUUUAUUCAAACGAGUUAGGACCACCAGAAUUCUCUUCUCUAGCGUAGAAAAUGUAGUGUUAAUGUCGGCCACAGAAAAAAAAAAUUAUGAAACAAAUAUUUAGCUUUAAUGUAAAAAAUCCCCCUAAACAGAAAUUUAUUUCACUAUAUUUAAUUUCUUGUAAAAACAAAUAAUUCAUAUCAAUAAAAUGUAUAUGUGGUCUAUAUUUAAAAAGAAAACAGAAAUAAUGUAUGGUUACCCUCUAGUGGGCAACAACAAUAAUACGUAACAUCCUCUCAAAAAAAAAAACAAUAAUACGUAACAUAAAACAUGAACACCUGCGUUCAGCUGCUACGAGGCUUCAAAUUAUAUGCAAUGUGUCGAUCCAUGAUUUGUUCUUUGUCGUGAAUCACAAGAUUGUGAAGUUUCAUUGUUUGUUUUUGUCCCACCAAUCAAACAAGCCUAUUUUGUUGAUUCUUCAUUAUUCCCCAUCUUAAUUAAAUAGAUAAUUAUAUUAUAUUUACCCUUUUUUUGUUGAGUGAUAAUGAAUCAAUUUCAUAUUUUGCUUUGUGUUAGAUAAAUACUACUACAUGAUCGAUGUGCAUGAUGAAUAAUAUAAGCAUAAAAAAAUAAAAUAUAUGUAUAUAUUCUUUCUUUUUGGUGUGAAGCGUGUAUCAUUGACACGCAACUUAAGAACUUAAUCUUUUGAAUCGAUAGAAUCACGAUUGGUGAUAAAAAAUUUCUCAAAAUAUUUAACAUUGUUGCUGAAUUCAAACUCAUGAUUUUUAUUAUUAAAAAAAGUACAAUAUGAUGGCUAAAUGGACGUUGAAGUUGCUCCUAAUAAGUUGGCAAAUUAGGUGAAUAGUUUGUCCUUAAUUAGAUUAAACUUUGCUUCAAAGAAUACUAUAAAACUUGCUAUAAAAAAUAUAUAUAAAUUUUUUAUUUAAUGGAAUCAUAUGGUUGUUGAUAUGCUUCCACUUUCAGUAAUUUUAUAUAGUUUUGAUGCUAAAUAUCUUUGAGCACUUGAAUAUUUUAUGUCAACAAGAUUACAGCUUCUGUUUUUAAUAUAUUUUAAGUUUAAAAAGAACUCAUCCUCAUCUUUUCAACCUCAUCUUAUUUUAACUUUUUCAAAAUGUGCUAGUAUUUGAGUUUAAUUUAGUGCAUGUUUAGAUCUUAGUUGUGUAUAGUCUCAUUUUCUUGCAAUCUUUAAUUGCUAUUAUGGAUAAACUUUACUGUAAACAUUAUCUUUAAUGUACUUAGAGCAUAUGUAAUGGCAACGUGAAAGUUUAAUAGAAUAAUGAACUCGUUCCUUAUUUGUUUUAUUCAUUCGAGAAAUUUGAGAUGAUAAAAUUGACUAUAUAAAUAUUGUCAAUAUGGUUUCUUGCAAUUUUCUCUCGAGUCAAUUUAAUUCUCGACAAAAAUUAAAUUCACAUUAGUGUUUAAUAUUAUUGUAUGAAAGAUAAAUUAAUCUUUUGACUCGUUAUAAUAGAAAAACUAGUUUAUCUCUCAUAUCAAUAUGUUAUGGAUUAAUGCGGUUUUUUUUUUUUUUUUGUGUCCGGGAAAUAAAUUGACACGAUAAAAAGGGACCAUAUUGUGUCUUCAAUCAUAGUUUAAUUAAUUUAUGGUGUGAUUAAAAAUUGUUAAGAAAUUUAUACUUUACUAUGUAUUUCAUUAAAAUUUAAUAGGAAUCUAUUCUAAUUACCUUGAAUAAUAUCUGCAUUUUUGUGAACUUGUUUUGGAAAACGAGUCAGAAUGAUUUGAUACAUUGACUCUUUAAAUGAGAAAAUGUCGACUAAAGAAAGCAAAACAAUUUCUAUAAAUAACGUUAAGAAAAUUUGAAAUAUUAGUAAUAUAGAAUCAAUUGCUUUUAAUUUGGACUGAUUUUGACGAUACAAAAAAUAAUGUGAAUAAAUAAUAAUUAAAACUAUACUUUUUUAAAAAAAAAAAUCAGCAAUAUCUGGCUCUGACAGAAGUAAACGUCACUAUCAUAAUUGCCAAGAAGUGAGAGCCCAAGGGUUAUAAGAACAAGCAACUAACGCGUCCCUUGUUUUCUCAUAUUUUUCUCAACCAACCUUAAAACUACAAAACUUUUUCUCUCUAUUCAUUGCCACUUUUUUUCUUCUUAGUUACAUUUUGCAGCUACUAACAAAUGAUUCAAACACUUUAUCAGUUUUCUUCUUUGUUCUUCAGAUCUUUGCUCUGCACCAUAUAAGGUAAUUUUAAGUAUUUUGCUUUCUUUUAUUCAUUUUUAUGAAGCACAGACACACAGACAUCGAUGAUAAUAUUUUUAAGUAUGUUUGAAUUGACGGUGAAUUUGACAUAAUGAUAGCAUGUGACUUGGUGACAAAAACAUGCAUUUUUUAGCUUGAACAAAAUCAUAUUGUUAUUCAGAACGUGCACAAUUGUGGUCUUGCAUACAAAUUUGUUGAUAGUCAUGUCAAUCAUAAAGUUUUUUUGUUUUUAACAUUAACCUUAAUUAACACAUGUUUUGGUAAAGAUUAGGGGCAUGUGGAAUUAAUAUGAAAAUGAAAGUAGGUAGCUAGAAUGGAAGAUUAUGAUAGUUAGGUUAUGAAUAUGUUUUGGUAAAGACUUAUUCAUCAUUAACCUUUGUACGUAUAAGCUUGUUGUGUCUAUCUUCAAUCCUGUUAGGUAAUUAGGUUUUCCUUUCUUUCUCAAACUGAUUCAUGUCCCCAAUUUUAAGAAAAUCUGCACAUCAAUGAAGUAUUGGUGUAUGUAUAAUUUUUUUAUGAACAUGAUUGCGUAGUAAAUUUGCAUACAUAUAGACACUGCUUGAAUUGUAUACGCAUCGAUCUAGAUCUGCAGAACAAUAAUCAGAAAAUAUUGUUAUUUUGCAAAAGGUUUCGUGUUCUUUCUGCUGUUUAUGUUGAUAUUUGUACAGAUAGUCUAAUCAAUGGAGAAAUUCUGUACAGCUCUAGUCUCAUUUUCAGUUAAUUUAUUCCAAUAAGAUUAUAGUUUCUCAUACACAUUUUCUAAAUUUAUAGUAACGUAUUAGAUUUUUUAAAAUUCUUGUAUCCUUAUCCAUUCAACUUUUUGUUUUAGGCAGGGUGUUUAUCUAAUCGGCUGAUUUUCUGAUUGAUUUAAUCUGAUUGCUUCGCCUAAGCGUUGGAACACCCUACUCUUAAAUUUUGACAGAUUAUACUCUGUAGUUGUUCAAAGUUGUUUUCUUAUAGCCUCUUUUCAAUCUUUUUUUUUUCUUUUUCAGGUGUGCCUUUCAUUACAUGUUUUGCUUUUGAGCAAUUGAAAAUUAACCAGGUUCUGCAUUAUUGCUUUCUAGUGUCAUUGCCAAAACCAGGGGAUGCAGAAAGAUGUGGUUCAAAGUGAAGAGUUCCUUCUCUGAGGUUAAUGAGGUUGUAGCUCCAUCUGAACUAACCUUUUUAAUACUUGAUGAGAUUGGAUAUCUAGUUUACCACCAAUAUCUAUUUUGUACUCAUGUGCCUGAGGUAGCUAGAAGUCUCGGUAAUUGCAUAACGUCAAAACCCGAUGUUUGUGAAGAUGGUUGAGCUUUGAGCACUAUAUAAUCUAUAGUAGUAGUGUAGGUUGUAAGGAAAAAGUGUUGCCGAAAUGGAACCGAAGGGAAGUGUGCUUAUGCAAAGAUAUGAGAUGGGAAGAUUAUUAGGCCAAGGAACGUUUGCGAAGGUCUACCAUGCUAGGAACCUUAUAACUGGCGUGAGUGUGGCCAUUAAGGUAAUUGAUAAAGAAAAGGUUUAUAAAGUUGGUAUGGUUGAUCAAAUUAAGCGUGAAAUUUCGGUUAUGAGAUUAGUCAGACACCCGAAUGUGGUCGAGCUUUACGAGGUAAUGGCUAGUAAAACCAAAAUUUUCAUUGUGAUGGAGUAUGCAAGAGGCGGUGAGCUUUUCCACAAAAUAGCAAAAGGGAAGCUCAAGACAGAUGUUGCUAGGAGAUAUUUCCAGCAGCUGGUUAGCGCAGUUGACUACUGCCACAGCAGGGGUGUGUAUCAUCGAGAUUUGAAACCCGAAAAUCUACUAUUGGAUGAAAAUGAAAAUUUGAAGGUUUCAGAUUUUGGUUUGAGUACACUUUCUGAAUCUAAGAGCCAAGAUGGAUUACUCCACACUACAUGUGGUACGCCUGCGUAUGUUGCUCCGGAAGUGAUAAACCGAAAGGGUUACGAAGGGUGCAAAGCUGAUAUAUGGUCGUGCGGAGUAAUCUUGUAUGUUCUAUUGGCCGGUUAUCUUCCAUUCCAUGAUCAAAAUCUGAUGGAGAUGUACAGGAAAAUCGGUAAAGGGGAAUUCAAAUUUCCUAAAUGGUUUGCACCCGAGGUUCGCCGGUUGUUGUCCAAAAUAUUGGAUCCAAGUUUAAAGACUCGGAUAUCAAUGGCCAAGAUCAUGGAAAAUUCUUGGUUUAAAAAAGGAUUAGAGAAACCUGUUGUCAUCGAGACUGAAAACAACGAACUUACUUCUCUCCACGCUGAAGGAGUGUUUGAAGUAUCCGAGAACGGUGGUGAUUCUAAUACGGAGACAAAACAACUACAGGCGAAGCCUUGCAACAACUUAAACGCCUUUGAUAUCAUCUCCUUCUCAUCUGGUUUUGAUCUAUCCGGUUUGUUCGAAGACACAAUUCAAAAGAAAGAGAUGCGGUUUACGUCUAACAAGCCUGCAUCAACUAUAAUCUCUAAGUUGGAAGAGAUUUGCAAGUGUCUUCAAUUGAAAGUAAAGAAAAAAGAUGGAGGUUUGUUAAAGUUGGAAGGAUCAAAGGAAGGUAGGAAAGGGAUUCUGAACAUUGAUGCAGAGAUUUUCGAGAUUACUCCUCACUUCCAUCUUGUGGAACUUAAAAAGUCUGAUGGUGAUACAGUGGAGUAUGAGAAGCUUUUGCAACAGGAGAUUAGACCAGCACUUAAGGACAUUGUGUGGAACUGGCAAGGAGAACAACCUCAGCAACUCCAACAGGAAGUAGUGCAAGAGGAGCAACAAUCAUCUCUUACUGAUCAAAUUUGAGGCUAAUUUCAGAAUCAUUGUUGCAUCACUAGGUUGUUGUAUGUUCUGUAUUUCCUUUGUGUGAACUUGAUCAAGAGUUUAAUUUAACAAUACUCAUAGAAUAAGGUUCAUAGUUUAAUCUUUUUUAUGUUUGUAUGAUACUUCAAAAAUACUUGUAUGGCUAAAGUGAAAAUUGGACCAUUUGGGCUUUUUGUUCAUUUCCCUCACGAUUAUUCUUUACAAAGGUCAAAGUGUAUCAAUCUAGUUAAAACCCUGCUUAUAGGAUUAACUGAAAAAUGCAAGUCAUUUUUUUCAACUAGCCUUAUUUGAUUUGGUUGGCUCACGUGUCACACUUCUUUGCAGCAACGUAUUAUGUGGUAGCAUAGCUAAUUUAAUCAUUCAUCACAAUUCACAGAAGGCAGAAACCAUAACAUAAAUACUUAUAUUUAAUAUUACUUUGCCUAAAGGUUUUUUGAAACUGUUCUGGUUUAUAUUAUGCUUUCCAUUUGGUCUGACAUGUGAUUAGAGAUGAAGUUGGGUCAAUUUUGUUUCUUUAUGUUAACAUGUGAAGUACACAUAAUCACUUAUAUUGAUGUUGCGUUUUCAUUUAAUUAAUUUUACUAAUUCAAAUUAUGUGAUUAACUUAUGAUAAAAGUUAAUUUCAGUUUACUUAACUAAGAAUCAAAUUGGUUGAUUCAAUUUUAGGCGGGUAAUACCAGCAGUGAUGUGAUCCGAAGCCGUGGUUUGAUGAUUAAAUAAUGAAACUUUGGCACUCAUGUUAUAGUGGAAUUUCCACCUUUAUUUUCUUUUGAGAAAUGAAAUGAAUGUUUUGCAAGUUGUACUGUAUUUUUAAGAGAACAAGUUAUGGUGUGAUUUUAAAAUGUAAUUCCUUACUGGUAAAACAAUGUAGAAUUCUUGGAUUGUUUGGGCUUUAUACCAUGUCAUGACUCAUGUCAAUAUCACUUAUAACUAACUUUAAAAAACUUCAGUGAUAACUUCUAGUGAAACAUACCCCGCACAACAAAACUGUGAGAUAAGCAGUUGAUAUAUUUGCAAUUGCAAUUUCAUAUAUAUGGAGAAGUGCUAACUACACUCUUUUAAACAUUCACUCAAACACACAUUCUUUAAUUGGAUGAAACAAAUGUGUGUUCCAUUAUUUUAUGUCGAUUUCAGUUUUAAAGUGUGAGAUCCACACUGAUUUCACUCAUUAAAAGAGAGAGCGUUUGAGUGACAAUUGAAAAGAGGAUGUUGAUAGCAUUCUUCAAUGGACAAAUAUUUGUGAUUUAGCUCACCUUUUACCUUUUUUUUUUCUCUCUACGAAAUCAAACAAAUAUAUCGAUGAAAACUACUCAAGGUUGAAGAUGUGUCGAUGAUAAUAAAAAACAAAUGCUAAAGGAAUGAAGCCUAUCAAAACAAACAAACUAUCAAAAGGAAUAAAGCACUCAAACACAUAAUAGGAUGUGACUAACCCAUUUGGGGUUGGCCUAGUGGUUGGCUUCGGAUCUUGGAGUUUGCUCAUCCAGAGGUCUCAGGUUCGAUCCCCUCUGGUGCCAAUUUCGGUGGGCUAAGUCCAUACAGAGCUUGCUCUGACUUUAAACGGGGCCCCUGCAAAGUGGACGGUGGGAUUGGUCCCCUCAAAUUAGUCGAUUCUUGGAUUGGAUACCGAGUUUUAAAAAAAAAAUUAAAAAACCAAUAGGAUGUGACUACUAUUGAUGAAGCUCGACUUUAUAUCUUUUAAGAUUUAUUUUGAACCAUAGACAUGACAACAAUUUAAUAGGUUUUAAAUUAAUCAAACCAAAUAAUUGAGUUUAAGUGAUUAAUGAUCUUUACUAAGGAUAGAUUGUUCAAGAGAACCUAAAUUCGAUUCAUGGUGGAACGAUUCCUCACAAACUCCAGAUUACUAGGGUCUUUUUUCCCUGAGAACCGAAAGGUUAACACAAAAAUAAACCCAAUACAAGCUCUUUUUAUAAAAAGAUAUUGACAUUUCGAGCUUUUCAAAUAACUUACACUCAAGUCAUUCAAAUAUAAAGGAGGAAAACUCACUACCAAAUAAUAUUGACAUCUAAUUGAAUAGUAAAAUAUAUUGAGAAUAACGGUAGUGCAUGUAAGGUGAAUAACUCAGACACAAUUCAUCCAAAUAACAUUGGCAUUUCAAGAUGCACUUUACUAUUCAAACAUAGGAUUGUACAUACUCUGCAUUUCAUGAUGCACUCUACUAUUCAAAUAUAAGCCAAUCAAAUUAAGCGUGAUCCAAUACAAUAUUUGGUAUGAUACUACUAAUGCACAACCAAUACAAAACUAAAAUCUAAAUAUUACCAAAAGAGGGCACAUCCAUUAGCACAAUGCAAGUCCAUAGAAGCUUUUUCUCAACUGACAAUAUUAUUCUUUGUAGAAAGUCUAUUUUGUAAUAACAUCCACAUCAAGAGGGAUCUUCACUGGAGUAACUUUAUUCCACAUAAGAUCGCAAAUAGGAGACUUUUAAAUGCUUGUGUUCGUCAUCAACAUCUAGUAAGCUCCUUUGACUAAAAAGUUACCACCAAGUAUAUUUCUGCAAGUGCAUUUAAUUUUGUUUUCUUGAAAAAUAAGAUUAUCGACAUACAAAAAACACUCUGUAACUGACUCUUCUUCGCAUUGAAACAACAUACGCAUGCAACUCCACAUAAACCCGCCCCCCUCUUCACCAUUCAACACCAAAUUAGCAACAAUGACCCUUUUUUAUGAAUAGUCAAACCGUAUAAUCUACUAAAUUAAUCCCUUAAUCCAAGGAUCAUGCGAGACAAUGAGUUCCUCUCAUAACCAAUCAUUUUUUCUAUUUUGUUAAAACCAAUUAACUUGGUCAUUGUGGUACUCAUGCCCUACUAUUUAAAAUAUCUCUCCACCACAUAGAAUCUCUACUUGAACUCGUAAUCACACCGCCAUUUAACAAUCCAUAUCUUUAUUUUGUUAAAACUUUAAACCAUGAAUCAUUCUCGUCUCUCUACAUAUCACAACGAUCACAUGAACUGUGAAUCCUAUAAGGGUCAGGAUUUCUCUACUCUGAAGAAACCCCACAAUUUCACACAGUUUUCAAUUGCAACCCUUGGAUCAUUAUUUGAUGAUAUAUAUUAAAACUUUGUAAAUCAUCCAAUGGUUGUAAAUCAUCUUGUUCUUUUUUACACAGCACCAAAACCUUGAAUUUAUUUAACAAGAUCAUUGUUUUUAUUUUUGGAUGGACAAGAUCACUCGAUUGAAAACAUAACAUCCCCCAAAUAAAUCGCAUUUUGACCAAACGACACAGAUCAUUGCCGUUUAACCUUCACACAUAUAUCCUCCCCAUUAUACCCUUUUAAAACAGUCCCCUUUUCUUAUAACAACAAAUGGCAAAACAGUCAGAUAGAAAAAAGUAGGUGGCAAAUCAACCCCAACCUCUUUUUACCUUCAUUCUCUCUCCUCUAUCUUCAUAAUCCAACAGAUCCAUCAUUUCUUCUCUUCCAAUCGCAUUCACAAUCUCUCUUACAUAUAUAAACUCUCUCCCUUUUUAUACCCCAACUUACAAAUUCUCACUUCAAUCUCUUCCCGCUCUCUCCAAACACACACUUCUUCAUUCAAAUCCCUUCAAUUCAACUCCAAUUUCUCUCAGAUCCAUCAAAAAAAUCAUACAAAAAACAUCCAAAACAAAAAAAAAUUCUUAAUUUUCACUUUUAAGGUCUGAUUUCCGUAAUACUUCUUUAAAAUUACUAGAUCUAAAUACCCUUUUGAAAUUUACAUCUAAUUGUCAGAAAAAAAUUGUUUUUUUAAGAUUUUUUUUCUUAAAGAUGAUGUUUUUAUAACCUAAUUGGUUUCUUUCUUUGUUCUUUUUAAUGAUUAUUGGAUAAUUAGAGAUCUGGGUUAUUUUGAUUUUUUAAUUAAGUUAAGGUUUUGGUACUGAUUAAUGUGGAAUAUGGUUGUUUUUGUUGAUUUUGAAGAAUAGCUUAUACAAAUUAAGAGUGAAUAGGAGCUUAUGGCUGACCAAGGAUUGGAAGGGAGCCAACCUGUGGAUUUAUCAAAGCACCCUUCUGGAAUUGUGCCUACUCUUCAGUGAGUUUCUUUCAUUUAAGUGUUUCAUUGUGAUUGCAAGCAUGAGAAGAUGAAUGAUUGUUUGUCUGCUGUGUGUUUUGGAAGUGAGAGUUUGUGUUAUGGUUUGUGGAUAUGUUAAUUUGUAAUAAAGAAUUAGCUAUGAAACACUGACACGGACAAUGACACCGACGAGUUGUCAACACUGGUCAUAAUUUGAGAAAAUGAAUUAAUUAAAUGUAUUCACAUGUGUCUAUGUCGGACACCAGAUAUGCCUUCGAUCAGAGGUGUCUAUGCUACAUAGUAAACAAGUGGCCUUAUUUAGCUAUCCAAACCAACACCAUUUAUGACAUUGAGAGCAUUGCAUGCAAAUAAUAAUGAUAAAAUUAACUCUCUUCUGAUGGGUUUACUGCUACCAAAAUUUAGCUUGUGUCUUUAGCUUUGUUCAUAUGAGUUUAUUGAUGAUUGGGCUGAACAAACUAUCUUGCAUGUGAUUUUCCUAUACAUGGUCAGUCCUGUUUUCCGUAUUUGUCAAUUGUUGGAGUAUACAGUUUGAUUGGUUUUACUGAUAACUGCUCUUUUUAAGGGGCUUAGCCCAAUAAAGUUUUAUGCCAACGAAGCUUUGUGAAUGAGAUUUGGUAAAAUUAAAAUGUUCAUAAUGGAGAGUAUUUAUAUUCCAGUUGGAAUUACUUGUGGUAUAUUCUUUUCCAG